This 84988-nucleotide long non-coding RNA is filed under the name Hordeum vulgare. Its description in RNAcentral is "long non-coding RNA (HVUL_LNC008457)". The record is from RNAcentral. Lineage: Eukaryota; Viridiplantae; Streptophyta; Magnoliopsida; Poales; Poaceae.
AUCAUUGAAUCACCAUGUCUUUUAUUCAUCACGGAAUAAAACAGCUUCCUCACGGGGGUAUUAUUUUAUUUUAGGAGUGCACAAUAUGCAGGCACUUUAGUACUUAGACAAAGACAUAAGUAUAUAUCCCUUUAUCAUAGACAGUUCACAGGUCCGGGUAAUUGUGUUUCACCAGACGAGCAAGUGGGAGACCAUCGGACAUCGGAGCCACACGACAAACAGUAAGCCCGUCUGUUAUCUUCACCUGGCUCGUUCCACUGCUGAAAAUCAAGUCAAGCAGCGCACCUGCAGCGAUCCCAAUUACCACACCAAUUCCGAUUCCGACGACUGCUCCGAUUACUGUGAGAGCUACAGAAGCGAUUUCGAUGUUAAGUGCUAUGAAUCGAGCUUCUAUAGCAGCUGUUGCUAGAUCUCCCACCACAAGGCUAACUACUGCAGUUAAUGCAUUCACUGAAUUCCUAACCGCUGCCUCCAUCUUGUCCUCUGCCGUGAAUAUGUCCCACACCAUUACACCUGCUGUAAAAAGCAACACUGCAACCCCGACUUUUCCCAAAGCUUCGAAUGUGUAAGUCACCACGGGUUUUCCUUGACCGGCUUGUGCAAUAAUUUUGUCAUAUACCUGGAAAACAUGCAGUGAUAUCCUGUAUCAAUUUCGCACCAUACAUAGGUUAAAAAAUGGACUUGGAAUCACCAAAUGCAACUACUUCAAUUCAAUUUAGUUUAGUCCAUCAAAUCGGAGCUCAUAAGAAUACGCCAUAUAUGUAUAUUUCUAUAUAUAUCUUGACUGUUGAUUAUUUGAAACAUAUUUUUUUAUGUCCCGAUUUCUUUCCUUUUAAAACCUUUUGUUCACACUGCAGUACCACAAAUAAUCUAUUUAAAAAAUAGAAUAUUAUUUAAAUACUGAGACAAAAAUUGUACUAUGGGGGACCUUAAACAUUGUUAAUUAAGAAAUUAAUUUAUGAUAAACCUUUAAAGGGCAAGGUUUAGAGUAUAAGUUAGUUCAUACCUGUAGCUUCUGUAUAUCACCCAAGUUCUUGAAAGCACCCCUAAAACCAAGUUUGCCCAUAUUACUGCAAGUACAGUGGGACAAGGAGAAAACAUAUUAGUGCAAUUACAUGCACUGCAGCAAAAGUGUUGUCGUUAAGUCUAAAGAUUAAACAAUGAUUGUGUUCUCUAAGUGAUUCCAAAACUUAUUUUCAUAUUUCAGCAAUGUUAAGCAAGUACAACAGAAUUUGGAAAAAAAUUCAGCAAAGUUCACUAUAUUACCAACUUGAUAAAAUAAGUUUGAAUAACCAAGUGGCUUAAUCCAAUAGUUUUGGGUUAAAUUAUCAUGAAUUUUGUUUUGAAUUCCCAUCGUGUAAAAUUGUAAUGUUAAUAAUAAUAAUAAUAAUAAUAGCAAUAAUAAUAAUAAUAAUAAUAAUAAUAAUAAUAAUAAUAGCAAUAAUAAUAACAAUAGCAAUAGAAAUAACAAUAACAACAACAAUAAUACUACUAAUAGUUAUAAUGAUGAUGGUGAUGAUGAUGAUGAUGAUGAUGUAGGGACAUACUCUUGCACAAGAUCCUCAAACAAGAUUUUACUCUCCUUGAGCCAUUUUGAGAAUUGAUUUGGUACAAAAUGCUGAAACUUUUUGGCAUUAUCAAGCGCAGCUUUCUUAUACAUGCCGGCCUCAAGAGCAAGGCGCCGAGCUUCCUUCUGUUGGGUGGCUGGAUUGAGCCACUUUAGCUGUUUGAUGAGGUCUUCACUGUGGGUCUUGAGCUUGUCAAGGUAGGUGAGACGGGUAUUGUAACUACGGAUUAAUUGGAGGGAUGUUCCGAUGGCCUUGGUGCAGUAGUCAUACACAUCCUUGGCAAUAGAUUGCUUGGCGGGGUCCUCGGUUUGUUUUAUCAUAUCCUGUGCACUAUCAAGGACAUGGUACACCUUAUCACGGGCAUCUUUCGCGUCUUUGAGAUACUUUUGCUGCUCCGCGUAUGACUGGAACUCGAGCUCUAGAAGCUUCUCCACUUCUUGUCGGUGGAUCAAAUCAGCUAGCUUAUAUGAAGCUGCCCUGGACUUAAAUCAACUGGAUCACGAGACAUGAUGUACGCGGUACACCUGAAAAAAAUACAACCAAAAAAAGUCAAAGGGAGAGACGGAAGGAUACAAGACACUAGGAUUCGAUUGUAUACAGACACGAAAUUAAAUAAUAACUGCGCCGCCUUCACGUAGGGGGCUGAAUUUGCGCAUGGGUCUUCUUGUGUUUACACAUAACAUCUACCGUGUGGCUUGGGUCGACGAUGGUAUCUGAUGAAGUCGAAGUCGCUUGCUCGGAGAUUAGAAAGGACGAUGACGCAUAUUGGAGAGAAAUUAUAACCAUGACGCCGGAGUGCUAGGUUGUUGAGGCCAUGUAUGUUGACGUAUGGGUGAAGUUUUAUGUGUGUGCCGCUUAGCUGUUUGUGAUGGUUUUCGUUCAGUUUUUCAUCAAUUAACUAGAUAACUCUCUUCAAUAUUUAAGUAAGGAAGGGAAGGGAAGGGAAGAAGCAUUCACCUUGGCCUUAUUUAAUUAACUAGAUAACUACAUCGAGUGGUUUAUUUGAUGUGUCCGUUUCAGCGCGCUGCACAAAAAUAAAAUCACAUGUGAACCAUCAACAGUCGGAUCUGAAACCUCCUGACGCCGGCGCCGGCACCUCCGUCCACUCCUGCUGUCAGCGUUUCCCACACCUCUCCCCAGCGCGCUGCAGNNNNNNNNNNUGACACGAAAUAAAAUAAUAACUGCGCCGCCUUCAUGUAGGGGGCUGAGUUUGCGAAUGGGUCUUCUUGUGUUUACACAUAACAUCUACCGUGUAGCUUGGGUCGACGAUGGUAUCCGAUGAAGUCGAAGUCGCUUGCUCGAAGAUUAGAGAGGACGAUGACGCAUAUUGGGGAGAAAUGAUAACCAUGACGCCGGAGUGCUAGGUUGUUGAGGCCCUGUAUGUUGACGUAUGGGUGAAGUUUUAUGUGUGUGCCGCUUAGCUGUNNNNNNNNNNNNNNNNNNNNNNNNNNNNNNNNNNNNNNNNNNNNNNNNNNNNNNNNNNNNNNNNNNNNNNNNNNNNNNNNNNNNNNNNNNNNNNNNNNNNCUUCAUGGAGAUCUAACCGAUGUAAUCUUCUUUGGCGGUGUGUUUGUCGAGAUCUGAUGAAUUAUGGAUUUGUGAUCAGAUUAUCUAUGAUUUAUAUUUGAGUCUUUGUUGAUUUCUUAUAUGCAUGAUUUGAUAUCCUUGUAAGUCUCUCCGAGUCUUGGGUUUUGUUUGGCCAACAAGAUCUAUGAUUCUUGCAAUGGGAGAAGUGCUUGGUUUUGGGCUCUGCCAUGUGGUGACCAUUCCCAGUGACAGUAGGGGUAGCAAGGCACACAUCAAGUAGUUGACAUCAAGGCUAAAAAAGAUGAGGUUUUUAUCAUUGGUUUGAGAUUAUCCCUCUACAUCAUCAUCUUGCUUAAGGCGUUACUCUGUUCUUAUGGAGUUAAUACACUAGAUGCUUACUGGAUAGCGGUCGACGUGUGGAGUAAUAGUAGUAGAUGCAGACAAUAUCGGUCUACUUGUUUUGGACGUGAUGCCUAUAGAAAUAAUCAUUGCAUAGAUAUCGUCACGAGUUUGCGCAGUUCUAUCAAUUGCUCGACAGUAAUUUGUUCACCCACCGUCUACUUGCUUUCAUGAGAGAAGCCACUAGUAAACACUACGGCCCCCGGGUCUAUUCACAUCAAUUGUUUACAUCUCCGCUCUUACUUUGCUUUGUUACUUUGUUGCUUUCAGUUCUCACUUGGCAAACAAUCUAUAAAGGAUUGACAACCCCUUCAUAGCGUUGGGAGCAAGUUUUCGUGUUUGUGCAGGAUAUUGAGAUACUGCUUCACUAGAUUGAUACCUUGGUUCUCAAACUGAGGAAAAUAAACCGACGCCUCCGUCACACUGGAAUCUGGAUCUUUGCUCCUAAACCGAUGCCGACUGCCCAACAUACUGCAAUCUACUUCGGAAUGACAUUCAUCUCCUGGUCCUCUAAACGUCAUGCGACGGUCUCGCGCUCUAGCGUGGAGGCUGAAUACCAUGACAUUGCCGAGGGAGAUUGUUGAUUUGUUGCCGACCUUGAGCAUGACAUACUUUUUUUCUGCCGUCUGAUCUGAACUCACCAAGCAGCAAAUUCCCUGACAGAUAGUGGUGGUAGCUGUGCCGUACACUGCUUCGUAUCACCAGGUUGCUAUGUAACUGGUAUCACAGACUUCCGACGAUGCUGUUCAGUGCCAGAUAUAAGGUGACAUCACGAACGUGUGGNNNNNNNNNNCCAUAGCAUUGGGAGCAAGUUUUUGUGUUUGUGCAGGAUCUUGAGAUACUGCUUCACUGGAUUGAUACCUUGGUUCUUAAACUGAGGAAAAUAAACCGAUGCCUCCGUCACACUGGAAUCUGGAUCUUUGCUCCUAAACCGAUGUCGACUGCCCAACAUACGGCAAUCUACUUCGGAAUGGCAUUUAUCUCCUGGUCCUCUAAACGUCAUGCGACGGUCUCGCACUCUAGCGUGGAGGCUGAAUACCAUGACAUUGUCGAGGGAGAUUGUUGAUUUGUUGCCGACCUUGAGCAUGACAUACUUUGUUUCCGCCGUCUGAUCUGAACUCACCAAGCAGCAAAUUCCCUGACAGAUAGUGGUGGUUGCUGUGACGUACACUACUUCGUAUCACCAGGUUGCUAUGUAACUGGUAUCACAGACUUCUGACGAUGCUGUUCAGUGCCAGAUAUAAGGUGACAUCACGAACGUGUGGGCCAUGACCGCUGAGAACCUAAACUUCGUCAAGGAGCAGCGGACGCAUGCAAUACUCACGUCGUACCGUUGGACGCAGACGGGGCUUGUUCGCGCCGCUACGACCACCAAACCUCCACGGAUGACAGCCAGGUUGCGUACUUAAUUAGAGAAAGAGUAGGGCAUGAUAGACUGCGAUGCCUUCUGUCUCACGUGUCACGUGGGCCAGUCUAUGUCCCAUGUCCUAUUCUAGCUUGCUCACGAAUGCACCUUUAGUUUCUAGGCACUAGUGGGGACGGGGCCUUUAGCCCCGGUCCGUAAGGGGCUUUAGUCCCGGUUCACCAACUUUGUGCUCUGUUACAAGCCUAACCUUUAGUUCCGGUCCUGUUACAAGCCGGGUCUAAAGGUGCUCCACGUGGGCGCCUUGUAGCGCCCCAGGGGUAGGACCUUUAGUCCCGGUUCGUUACACGGGCCNNNNNNNNNNACAGAAGGGGCUUUAGUCCCGGUUCACCAAAUUUGUGCUCUGUUACAAGCCUAACCUUUAGUACCGGUCCUGUUACAAGCCGGGUCUAAAGGUGCUCCACGUGGGCGCCUCGUAGCGCCCCAGGGGUAGGACCUUUAGUCCCGGUUCGUUACACGGGCCGGGACUAAAGAGUUUCCGAUUUUGCUUAUUUUUGGGUUUUUUUUAAUGAAAUUAUUUUUGGGUUUUAGGGUUUUAGGGUUUAGGUGUUCGGGAGAUUAACGUGAUGCCUGGUUUGGUGUUCGGGAAUUAGUUUUCAUAUAAUUUAAAUAGAAAUAAUUAUGCAUAUAUAUAUAAGGUUAACUUAUCUUACAAGCGAGCAUAUAUAUANNNNNNNNNNNNNNNNNNNNNNNNNNNNNNNNNNNNNNNNNNNNNNNNNNNNNNNNNNNNNNNNNNNNNNNNNNNNNNNNNNNNNNNNNNNNNNNNNNNNNNNNNNNNNNNNNNNNNNNNNNNNNNNNNNNNNNNNNNNNNNNNNNNNNNNNNNNNUGAACACGGAACACUAAAUCGUCAUUUGUCAUCUAUAGCUUCCAUCCUCAGAAAGGUCGCAAGCUCCUCUGCAACAGCAAUCGCGCGUUGCUCUGGUAGGACCUUCGUCGUCAUGGCCGUGUGCUAUAUAAAAGUGGAGAUGAAUAUGAAUAUCAAUCAUGAUAACAAAAAAUGACGGGUAAAAAUAGAGGUGUGAAUGUUCAUUGCUUACGUCGAAUCUGUGAUCAUUGUGCUCAGAGGUAAACGUGCGAAUGGUCUCGCAAACAUAGUAUCCGNNNNNNNNNNCGAACAUCAGUAAUGGCCCCUAGCUACACUAAAUCGUCCUUUGUCAUCUAUAGCUUCCGUCCUCAGAAAGGUCGCAAGCUCCUCUGCAACAGCAAUCGGGCGUUGCUNNNNNNNNNNUCAUUGCUUACGUCGAAUCUGUGAUCCUUGUGCUCAGAGGUAAACGUGCGAAUGGUCUCGCAAACAUAGUAUCCGCAUAGAUGCGUUCCCCGUGGCUGCUGGUCGCACUUUACGAGGAUAGAAUAUAUAUAAUCAAAAUAAUAAUCUAGCAUCAUAAAUGUAUUGAAAAUAGAAGUAUAUCAUACUACUACUUACCUGAGCCGCUCUAAAGGUNNNNNNNNNNNNNNNNNNNNNNNNNNNNNNNNNNNNNACCCUGCCCGACAAGGAUAAUGAUUUGCUAAGUUUUUCAUUAGUUGAUAUAUCAGAAAAUCAUCGAAAGAGACCGAUAGAGCGCAAGAAUGAUUGAAAUUACCCUUGGAGCAUGUCAUGCACGCUUUGGAACUGUUCCAAGGGUCUCGAUAAUGGGUCGAAGGCAUCAACNNNNNNNNNNNNNNNNNNNNNNNNNNNNNNNNNNNNNNNNNNNNNNNNNNNNNNNNNNNNNNNNNNNNNNNNNNNNNNNNNNNNNNNNNNNNNNNNNNNNAGAGAUGAGUUCUCGUUCGAAACCCUGAUACUUCGAGAGAGAUUGUCCAUUUUGUACACGACGUGCAUCCAGUUUUUGUCGUAGCUCUCUCAACUUUUUAACAGAUGCUAUGUGGGUGAAAUGAUGAUAGCAUGCCAACUUUCAACAUUUUCAGAGUUCAUUUGUAAUGCUUUUCAAUUUCAGGGUCAACUAGCUCAAAAAAAAAAAAGUAAAUGCACGAAAUAUACCAAAUGAAGUCAGAAAUUGUUGAAAUUUUCUGAUGUGCCUUUGAAUGAUGCAUUUUGAACACACAAAAAGUAUGGAGUUCAAAUAAGUUUAAAAAAAUGAAAUCCCUUUGUAAGAGUUGAGUUCUCGUUCAAAACCCUGAUACUUCGAGAGAGAUUGUCCGUUUUGUAGAUGGAGUGCAUCCAGUUUUUGUCGUAGCCCUCUCAACUUUUUAACACAUGNNNNNNNNNNNNNNNNNNNNNNNNNNNNNNNNNNNNNNNNNNNNNNNNNNNNNNNNNNNNNNNNNNNNNNNNNNNNNNNNNNNNNNNNNNNNNNNNNNNNNNNNNNNNNNNNNNNNNNNNNNNNNNNNNNNNNNNNNNNNNNNNNNNNNNNNNNNNNNNNNNNNNNNNNNNNNNNNNNNNNNNNNGUCAAAAAAAUAAGUAAAUGCACGAAAUAUACCAAAUGAAGUCAGAAAUUGUUGAAAUUUUGUGAUGUGCCUUUGAAUGGUGCAUUUUGAACACAUAAAAAGUAUGGAGUUAAAAUAAGUUCAAAAAAAUGAAAUCCCUUUGUAAGAGAUGAGUUCUCUUUCGAAACCCUCAUACUUCGAGAGAGAUUGUCCGUUUUGUACACGAAGUGCAUCCAGUUUNNNNNNNNNNNNNNNNNNNNNNNNNNNNNNNNNNNNNNNNNNNNNNNNNNNNNNNNNNNNNNNNNNNNNNNNNNNNNNNNNNNNNNNNNNNNNNNNNNNNNNNNNNNNNNNNNNNNNNNNNNNNNNNNNNNNNNNNNNNNNNNNNNNNNNNNNNNNNNNNNNNNNNNNNNNNNNNNNNNNNNNNNNNNNNNNNNNNNNGUAAAUCCACGAAAUAUACCAAAUGAAGUCAAAAAGUAUGGAGUUCAAAAAACCAUAUUAUGAAAUUAAAUAUUAUCAUUGGCGAUUCAUCUCUAUUAUGAAAUUCAAUAUAUCAAAAAACCAUUGCAGAACAUAUGACCAAAUUAAUACAAGUUCAUCAUCACAUUAAAGCCAAAGAACAGUAGUGAUCAAAUGUUAUUAUUGCAAAAAAUAAAUAUGUAAAGUUCUCUCAUAAAACAACAUGCAACUAUGUAAAACAUUUAAAUGCAACAACAAACGCGAUCAAAAUCGCAACUAAGGUAACAAUUGACCCAACAGCAUAAUGAUACCAAGCCUCUUUAUCAAUGGCAUAUUUUCUAAUAUUCCUAAUCUUCAAGCGCAUUGCAUCCAUCUUCAACCGCAUCGCAUCGAUCUUCAUCUUGCGAUCAUCGAUGACAUCGGCGACACACAACUCCAGUUCCAUAUUCUUAUCCUCAAUUAUUUUCAAUUUUUUCUNNNNNNNNNNCUCAAACGCAUUUCAUCCAUCUUCAAGCGCAUUGCAUCCAUCUUCAACCGGAUCGCAUCGAUCUUCAUCUUGCGAUCAUCGAUGACAUCGGCGACAUACAACUCCAGUUCCAUAUUCUUAUCCUCAAUUAUUUUCAAUUUUUUCUUCAAGUAUUUGUUUUCUUUUUCAAUCAAAUUUAACUUCUCGACAAGAAUUUUUAUGUGGGUUGGAAUUUCCGGUUCACAUACCUCCUAGAUUAAAAAAACAUAUGUCACAUUGGUCGUCAUAAUUGUCAUAAACACUAAAUAAAACAAAUAGUUAUAAAAGAUAAUAUAUACCACAUCCGAAUCAUAGACAGGACAAGGGCCGACGGAGGCGGAUACCAAAACCAUCCCACUAUAUAAUAACAAAAAAUAAUGAAAGUGAGUAAUUUAUACAAGUAUAUAUCUAAAUCAUACAAGUAAGAUUUUUUUUCUUUUAAAAAGAAGAUAAGAACAAGAGGCUCACCAGGGUGGUGCUCGCGACGAGAUCGGCACGGGGCGAUCGACAAUGAUGAGGACGGGCACGGAACGACACCCUACGCAUGUGCAGACUCUAAGUAGUUAAUUUAAGCAUUUGAAAUGAGCUACACUAGAAGUGACAAAUGAAAGGAUGAAGUAGCUAACCUUUUAAAAAACUUGUGCAGUUGGUGCACGACCAAACCUAGACAAAUAUUAAGGAAAAUGGAGCUUGGAGGUUGAGCUAGGAGAGGAGAAAGCUUAAGUAGAGUGGCUCAGGCAUUUCAUCGAACACGUCAUGUGCAUGAACUAGAGUGGCAAGAGCANNNNNNNNNNNNNNNNNNNNNNNNNNNNNNNNNNNNNNNNNNNNNNNNNNNNNNNNNNNNNNNNNNNNNNNNNNNNNNNNNNNNNNNNNNNNNNNNNNNNUGCACGCCCCGGGACUAAAGGCCCUGCUUCCUGCCUUCUGGUCUGCCGAAGAAGGGCCUUUAGUCCCGGGUCGUGGCUCCACCCGGGUCUAAAGGGUGUCUUUAGUCCCGGUUCAAGCCACGCCCGGGACUAAAGCCCCCUGCUUCUCGCCUUUUGGUCUGUCGAAAAAGGGCCUUUAGUCCCGGGUCGUGGCUCCACCCGGGACUAAAGGGUGUCUUUAGUCCCGGUUCAAGCCACGCCCCGGGACUAAAGCCCCCUGCUUCCCGCCUUUUGGUCUGCCGAAAAAGGGCCUUUAGUCCCGGGUCGUGGCUCCACCCGGGACUAAAGGGUUCUUUAGUCCCGGAUCGAGCCCCGAACCGGGACUAAUGAUCCACCUGUAUAAGCGGGAGUUAGAAAAUUUCGAACCCAAAUCAUCCAUUUCUCUUCUUCUUCCUCUCGUUCUCCUGCCCGGCGCGCACAGCGACGAACUCGACGACGCCGUCAGGCUGUCCGCCGUCCUGCUCGCCGCCGUCUGCCGUCCUCCUCGCCGUCGCUGUCGUCCUGCUCGCCGCCGCCGUCCUCCUCGCCGCGCGCCGCCGUCCUCCUCGCGUGCCGCCGUCCUCCUCGCCGCGCGCCGUCGACACCUCCGGUAAGCCCCACACCCCCUCCUCCCCAACACUCCGGCCAGCACAAGCAAAGAAGAAACAGGAGAAGAAAAGAAGAAAAAGGAGAAGAAAGGAGGAAAAAGGAGAAGAAAGGAAGAAAAGCGAAGGAGAAGAAAAAAAGAAAAAGGAGAAGAAAAGAAGAAAAAGGAGAAGCAAGGAAGAAAAAGGAGAAGAAAGGAAGGAAAAGGAGAAGAAAGGAAGAAAAAGGGAAGAAAAGAAGAAAAAGAUUUUUUUUGUCAUUUAAUUCCUAUUGUUAUUAGGUUUGUGCUAGAUUAUUAGGGUUAGUAAUAUGUAGAAUUAGGAAAAAGGAAAAUAAGAAGAGGAGGAAAAGAAAAGAAGAAAAAGGAGAAUAAGAAGAGGAGGAGAGGAGAAGAAGAGGAAAAAUAGAAGAAGAGGAGAGGAGAAGUAGUAGAAGAAGAGGAGAAGUAGAAGUAGAAGAAGAAGUAGAAGAAGAGGAGAAAUAGAAGAAGAGGAAAAAUUAGUUUAGGGUUACAAGAAGAAGAAAUAUUUUUUUGUCAUUUAAUUUUGCUAUUGUAUAGUGUAUAUGCUUAAGUGUUAAUAGUGUUUCUUAGAUUAUUGUUUAAUUUUGCUAUUGUAUAUGCUUAAGUGUUAAUAGUUUAAUUUUGCUAUUGUAUAUGCUUAAGUGUUAAUAGUUUAUUUUUAGCAAGAAAAUUAAUAGAACUAGUUUAAGUUUGCUACUGUAUAUGCUUAAGUGUCCGGGACUGGGCUCCGCCCGGCUGGUAUUUUAGAGUUUAGGUUCUAGCCAAGACGCGGGACUAAAGGUCAUUCUAUAUAAAACGACACUUCAAAGUUUCCAACCCCUCUUAUAUAUUUGUUAGUUUAUUAGUUAAUCAAAUGUCCGUUUUUUGCAGAACUAUGGAUCCACAUAUCAGGAACCUCGAAGAGGAAGAACUUCUCGAAGAUAUAAUCAAAGACGGCCCCGACGUUGAACCAGCUGAAUCUCCGUCGUCAUAUCUAAACGGCUCCGGAUACAAAGCGGGAGCGUGCCAGCAAGAAUGCUCCGCCGACGAUUCCUAAGCCACGGAGCACCCCAAAGCGCAAACGGUCGCCCCUCCCAAAGGUACGUCAUGCUAAUCUUCCUAUCAGACCUUAUGAUCGUACCCUCGAGGAAAACGGCAGGAUAGCAAAGGAACAUCAUGAUGCGCAGAUGAAAAAGAAGGAACCCGAGCCCCGCCCGGAAUACACCGAGAAGCAAAUAGCAUUUGCAAAAUACUUCACGACCCUUCCAUCACAGUAUGACUUACACCAUAAGCCUGAUGACUAUACACGCACAUUGCAGAAGGAAGUGAAAAAGANNNNNNNNNNUGCAAGUGAGAGCAAAUCAAGUUCAACUACAAGCAAGAAAAAAUCAGACGUUCCUCAGCUUGGACAACAGGCAAAACAGUCGAUCCCACCGCUCAAGGUGUUAACCGAGAAUGUUCCCCCUCCGGUGCAGGGGCUAGCUUUUGAAAGAGCAAAGGAGUUGGCAGCUGAAUGUGGUGUCUCGGUUGAAGAUUUGCUGGCUUCCCAAGAUGACAGGAUACCCAAGGCUGUGGUAGCCCCUAAGCCACAGUUUUUCAUGGGUGAGCCUUUAGUCAGCAAAGAUGAUCUCCCAAAAAAUAUGCGUUACUUGCAUCAAUGGUACUUAAGUGAAUCAAAGAAUGGGAGAACGAUGAUCGUGCUGAGUGUCCCACAGGAGUAUUACGGCCGCCCCGAACAAAUCCAUAUCGACUUUGAUGAACUCUUUCAGAUGUACAAUGGCGACGCCCUCGACAAAUCACUUAUGAGUUGCUAUUGUCUGUAAAUUUUUCAAUUCGUUGUCUACAUAUAACUUGUUUAGUUAUUUCAAUUCAUUGUCUAUAUAUAACUUGUACUCUAUUAUGCAGAAUAAAGAUUCUGGAUUGUAAAAGUAAGAGCAUCCUAAAUAUUGGGUUUAUUGACCCAGAUAAAAUACAUAUAGCGACGCUAACUGAUUAUCCCAAGGAGACGGAGGAAAACCUUGUUUCUAACAGAUCAAAAUUUCUGUGACCACAUACUGUUUCCAUACAACUUCAGGUGAGGGUCUUUACUCUGUUGUGUCCAUUCACUUAUAAGUGUAACUGAUAAGUUACUGACACACAUAUAUAUAUACAUGUGCAGCUUCCAUUGGAUUCUGUUGGACAUUCAAAUUGAUAAGGGAAGAGUUGAUGCCUUCGACCCAUUAUCGAGACCCUUGGAACAGUUCCAAAGCAUGCAGCACAUGCUCCAAGUGUAAUUUUAAUCAUUCUUGCGCUCUAUCGGUCUCUUUCGAUGAUUUUCUGAUAUAUCAACUAAUGAAAAACUUAGAAAAUCAUUAUCCUUGUCGGGCAGGGUUUGGAAUCGGUUCAAGUGCCUGACUCCCGGUAACUUUCGUGAGAAGCUGACCUUUAGAGCGGCUCAGGUAAGUAGUAGUAUGAUAUACUUCUAUUAAUUUUCAAUACAUUUAUGAUGCUAGAUUAUUAUUUUGAUUGUAUAUAUUCCACUCUCGUAAAGUGCGACCAGCAGCCACGGGGAACGCAUCUAUGCGGAUAGUAUGUUUGCGACACCAUUCGCACGUUUACCUCUGAGUUCAAGGAGCAAAGAUUCGACGUAAGCAAUGAACAUUCACACCUCUAUUUUGACCCGUCAUUCUUUGUUAUCAUGAUUGAUAUUCAUAUUCAUCUCCUCUUCUUAUAUAGCACGAGGCCAUGAGGACGAAGGUCCUACGAGAGCAACGCGCGAUUGCUGUUGCAGAGGAGCUUGCGGGAUUUCUGAGGACGGAAGCUAUAGAAGACAAAGGACGAUUUAGUGUAGCUAAGGGCCAUUACUGAUGUUUGUCCAUGUAAUCGAAUAGACGGGCUCUAGUCCCGAUAAUUCAGAUCUACAUAUAAUUGUAUAUGAGCUUGUAAGAUGAGUUAAUCUUAUAUAUAUAUAUGCAUAAUUAUUUCUAUUUUAAUUAUAUGAAAACUAAUUACCGAACAAAAAACGAGGCAUCACUUUAAUCUCCUGAACACCUAAACCCUAAAACCCUAAAACCUAAAAAUAAUUUCAUUAAAAAAAAGCCAAAAACCAGCAAAAUCUGAAAAUCUUGAGUCCCGGUCCGUGUAACGAGCCGGGACUAAAGGGCCUGCCUCUGGGGCGCUACGAGGCGCCCACGUGGAGCACCUUUAGUCCCGGCGUGUAAGAGGGCCGGGACGAAAAGGUUAGGCCUUUAGUCCCGCCCCUUUAGUUCCGGUUGGUGAAUCGGGCCUAAAGCCCCUUACGGGUCGGGGCUAUAGGCCCUGUUCCCACUAGUGAAGGUGGUGUGUACGCAAUUGGAGUGGAUGGCUAUGGAGGUUUUUCCCAACAUGAAUGGCAUCAUAACCUCCAUAUUGGUUCAUCAUCUUUUUGAAAUAGGCAUAGUGAGGGUCCUAUUUGACUUUACUAGUGCCGACAUGUCCAUUUUUUAAUCUUUUUGUCUUGUUUUAGACUGUGUGUGUUUGGCUAUGUCCAUCAAGCUAUGUAGAGGCCGCGUCUUGGUCAUCAUGAAUUGUAUUCACUUCAUGCUACAUUUUAAGUUAAUAAAAGUUCCCUUUAUACAAACAAAAUUCUCCAUCAAGGCUAAUUAGCCUUGCGCCCUACCAAAUGAGCUAGACGGGUGAGCUAGAGGCCGCGCGCACGAUGUGCACCUCAAUCUGUUGUUGUUGUUGGAAAUGGGUGCGUCGGAUUCGGAGGACGAGGUGGGUGGUGUGAUACCCACCUCUCAGCCACAUACCGCAUGGUUCUUAUGGUGUGAUCGUCGGAUUCGGAGGAGGCCAGGUUGAGCACCGGGUUGAUUAUGGUGGCGGGAAGUCGCUCUCAGCCACAUAGCGCAUGGUUCUUUCUUUUCUUCAGAGCUUACAUCGACGAGGGAAGAGAGAAUACUUUGCUAGGCCAGAACUUGUCGGCUUUGCCAACUGCGCAGUGAUGGGUCCAACCCUUCGAUUAACCAUUUGUUUUCUGUUAGAAAAUGCGUGUGUUUUAAAUUUUAUACUGUUACGGAAUGUCGCAUGGAAAACAAAAUUUUUGCUAUGCACAUGCAAUACCUAUCCAUGAUGAUGAUCAUCUACGAGAGAGUAGAGUGAAUCUACAUACCCUUGUAGAUCGCUAAGCGGAAGCGUAUAUAACGCGGUUGAUGUAGUGAAACAUCUUCACGAUCCAAAUCGCAGCCCGUCCCACGAUCUCAACACGAUCCGUCCUGCGAUCUCAUCACGAUCCAUCCCGAUCUAGUGCCGAACGAACGGCACCUCCGCGUUCAGCACACGUACAUCUCGGUGACGAUCUCCAUCUUCACAGUCCUGGGACACACAGUCACGGGACACACAGUUCCGGGACACACGGUUCCUACCGUAUUCUCCUUGAGCUAAGGACACACAGUCCUCGCCCAACACUCAUCGUAAGUCUUCAGGCAUACUUCCAAACCCUCACAAACUAGGUGACCCGACAAUCCACAAUUGACUGCUGGAUGCUCUAGACGAUGACGCCUAACCAUCUGGUGAAUGCACAGUCCUCAAAGGUUACAAGCAUCGGUUCCACACAAGAAUAACUUCUUCGGAGAUGCUCAAUAACUUGGGUUUUGGUUUGGGUUUGAGUGUUUGAGGUAUUUCCUUACUUGAUGAUUUUCGCUCAAAGGCUUUGAGGAAUUUGGGUUGUUCUAAAUGACUAGUGUCAGUUUCUCUCAGAGCAGCCAACCAGCUAGUGGUUGUGGGGGCGGCUAUUUAAAUUUUGGGAGCAUUCCGACAUGAUUUGACAUAAAUGCCCUUAAUGAUAUGAACGUUGCGUGGAUAAGAUUUGGGACAGGUGGCGCGUGGCGCGGCAACGGUCGGAACUUUCAAUUGUGAAAGUCCUCGUGUAUCUCAUGUACCUCACUCUGAGGAUUUAAUAGGUGUAGGUUUGGGUUGAGCAUCAUGAGGAAAUUCUUUCGGUAGUUUUACCUUGACCCCCUUUAACAGUACGGUGUUCCUAUAACUCGAGAAUAAAGAAAAUGAAACAGAAAGAGUAAAUCUUCACGCUUCAAAGUCUUCAGAGUAUUUUCAUCGGGACACACCGAAUUUCUCAUCUUUAAUAUCAUUAAGAGGAAUAUCAAUUUCUUUGCGAUCAAAGUCUUCAAGGAAUGACCAAAGGCUUCACUCGAAGAAAUACAUUUUUAAGGGUCGAUAUCCAUCGAAUAACUCAAACUCCUCAGCGACUUAUAGAGCCUGUGUACAUUUACGAACUUAUCAGUCUCUUAACCUAUAAAUCUUCAAACCACCCAAAUCACUAAGGGGCACUAGAUGCACUUACAAUCUCCCCUUUUUGGUGGUUGAUGACAACUAGGUUAAGUUUUCAACGGGGCUAAUAAUAUGAAAUGUAAGUACACAGUUUGAGGAAUUUGAUUGCAGGAUACAGAGAUACUCCCCUUGAAAAUGUGCAUAUUUGAGAAGUUUGCGUUGGACAGCAAAUGCAUAUUGAUGAUAUAUAUCAUGGAAAUCUCCCCCUGUAUCUUGUAAUUCAUGUAUGCAUCGUACGUCCAGCGAACAAUGCCAACUAGGCCUGCAUGCCCUAGCUAGCAUCGCCGCCGUUGUAUGCAUAUGAUCUGCCACUGCUGACACGCUCCGGAGUUCGCGUUGAUUUCAAUGACUCCUGUCAACUUCGAUCUCUUCCAGUUUUAACGCUCGAAAUCGGUCAAGUGUAGCUUAAAUCCAACUGAUCUUCUUUACGAUUUCUUUCAUCCUUUUCCUCUAGAUCAACCAUCAACCCCAGAUAACCUAGCAUUGAUACCACUUGAUAGAAUAAACAAGAGAUGUAUAGUCGUUCAUCCGAGGACCAAGCAGUCAAAUGAGCACGCCACCGAAAUUUGUUAAUGAGGUUCAACGAUAUGACUACGUCCCUGGAGCUUGGUUACUGACGCUCCUCCCCGUGACACCGUCACAAUACCGUACCUAGACCACCCUGGGCACCGACACAUGCAGCCGUCUCCCCUGCGUUCAUGUGCUAUUAUAUUAGCAUAGGUUAUUUCGUUUGUCUGCCUCCACUAUAUAUGAGAGGUCAAGGGCAUACCUAUAUAAACACAAUACAACUCAGAGUCCAACUAUAACAUACCUUGAACACAAUAUUCAACACAACUAUAACACAUAGGAUGAAGCAUUAGUUCAAUUAAAUAUUUUGGAUAGUAUUAUUGGUGUUAUGGUUAUCCAUAAUUUACAUACCGUUACACAAUUAUAAUUAUCAAAACUUCUUUUUAUGUCAAGAAAUUAAAGAACAAUAUACUUUCAAAUGACUUUAUUCAUAGUAAGAAGUCUAAAGCCUUCACAAUAAGUAUACAUAGAUUUAGAUAUAGCUAUAUUAAAGUAUUUUUUAUCAAAACGGUAUAUUAGAACUUCAACGUGGUAUAAACUUGUGGGGGUAAAUUCAUCACCCAUCUAUAUGUACUCCAUUAGAAAAUGGUUGGUUCCUAACUUAGUUUUUAUUUAAUUUCCUUUUUAAGAAAAGACACUCGGAAGAGUACUCCCUCCGUCUCGGUGUAUAGGCAAUCUUAGGUUGUGCACCACGACCAAGACAAAGAGGAAAACGAGAGAAAUUAAAGUUAAUUUGCUAAUAUAAUGUCCAUACUAUAAAUUGACCACUGCAUGUCAUGUCAGUUAGUCUCAAGUCAUUAAAAACAUAAACGCCCCACGUCUCUUUUCGGUUAAUUCCUUUAUUCAUGUAAAAAAAACAGAAAUGAGGUGAAAGUUAAUGUACUGUGCCUAACUUUUUUGGAAUUAUUUGGUUUUUCUAAGAUGACUUAUAAACCGAGACGGGGGAGUAUCAUAAAUUUGAUAUUUAUUAGGGAUAACAGUAGUGGGUACAAAAGAGGGAUAGCUUGACACAAACGACUUGUAAAUAAUAUAAAAUCACACAUGAUAUCUCAUUUAUUGUCUUCUUCCUUGAUUAUUCAUAAGCACCCGAUCUUAGGAAAUGCACCACAAAGAUAGUAGACGAAACAUAUCCAUAGUUUGAACACCGGAUCUUAGGAAAUACACCGCAACGUCUUCGCCACACAAGCCUUUGAUGUUGAUAACGAGAUCUAGUAGGGAAACUGGAAAACUCCACGGGCGUUCAUGGUAGAGCCUUCACCGAUAUUAGUCUUGGAAACGUAUCCAUAGUUUUCAUCAGUAGAGUUGAGAUUUGAAUUUGCAAGCUUCACACCAUAGAUAUAACCCCAGCUUCCCACACUUGGGUAGUGUCCUUCCUCACGGAUUUCGGUGUACACCUACAUACAUAAAGUAUUAGAAUAUGCACUAGUAGAGUUUGACAUAUACAUAAUGUUUUUUCAGUUGAAAAACUGUAGUAGGUAAAUUCAAUUGAAUUUAGUUUAGAUUAUUUAUUUAUUUAUUUUUGCAGAAUCAUAGUUGAAAAACUGUAGUAAGUAAGAUCUUCUAUCAUCUUAAUUAAAAGAAUCAUAGUUUGCAGGUUUAUAAAUGCAUCACUUGCGAGGUGAAUUGCACCGUUAAUUUAAUUUGGAUUACAUAUAAAUUUACUUCAAAUUAGUUUGGAGCAUGAGCAAAGAGAAAAAGGUAAGAUACAUCAUUUUUGAGAUAAUGCACAGUAUUUACCCCGUUGUCACCAAUGUAGGGGGCGGUCCAGGAGAACAACCAAUCGCAGGACCUGCUGCUGGAGGGGAUCUUGGUACGAUACACAACGGCACCAGCUGAACCAACCGCAGCACCACUUGGGUGGACGUGGAGGAAUGCACCCCAUUGCCCAUUCUGAAUAUCUGAUGGGUAGGGUGUAUCAUAGAUAUGGCCGUGCCAAUCGUUGUACUUAGCCAAGCUCAAAGUGGCACCAGUGGCAUUGUAGAUGAGGCAUUUUACAGCUAUUCCGUUACCGUACCUAUAUAGCAGUGUCGCCAAAAUAUGGAUCAGAUUAAUUAAGCUCUCUCUAAAAGAAAUUUGUUUGUAUCACAACAUGCUAAAAGCAGAAAUAUACGACGUACAAUGAAGGAAACAACGAAAGAAACGAACCGCUCUUUGAGAUUGUCGACGAAGGUUAGUGCGUUAAUAUCCUUACCACCGGCGUUGAUCAUCUUCAUGGCAUAGUCUGCAACAUCCUUUUGAGUAAUGGGUUCCUUAUACUCACCAGUGGCUAUCACCGUCUUCUCCGAAAUGGGGGUACCAAACACUCCUGAGGCCAUUUGCUUUGCUAGUUUAGAUGGAUCGAUUGCUGUGAGAGAAUGAAUGAAUGAUUUUGUACAUCUAGUCCUGCCAGUAUUUAUACACGCGUUGGCAAUGCAAUGCAAAGAUCCCUCCUUCCACCGUUUCAUUAAAGAAAAAACCUCUGGUUGUGGCCGGUAGCCUGGGCCACGGCUAGAUAGAUAGCACACCGUGAGGAAUCCUUGCAAGUUGUGUAUAGUACUCGAUAGACGCUCGAGAUCAAUACACGCUUCAAAGUCAUAGAGCAAACAAUUUGCUUGCGACAAGACUACUUCCUCGCGUCCAAGUCGUGUGGUAUGGCACAUUGUUAAAGCACGCACAAGAUUUUCCCUCAAACUAAUCCAUCAGUAUCCAUCACACACGCACACACAAAUCCUGCACUACCGAAUCACAUCGNNNNNNNNNNNNNNNNNNNNNNNNNNNNNNNNNNNNNNNNNNNNNNNNNNNNNNNNNNNNNNNNNNNNNNNNNNNNNNNNNNNNNNNNNNNNNNNNNNNNUUUAGCCUAGUCUAAAUCUUUGCUGAUGCAUGUCCUCCAAGUCCUUGUUAUGCCCUGCCAUGUACAUGACCUACGUCCGUGAGCCCUCACUAGUGGAAAACCGGUCUUUGACCGGACCCUUUAGUCCCGGCCUGCCUCUGGACCGGGACUAAAGGCCCGGCCACGUCGCCCCAAUUCCCAAUGCCUCCCUCGAGGCUUUAGUCCCGGCCCGUAAGGAACCUUUAGUCCCGGUUCGUGUUCCAAACCGGGACUAAAGGGCUACGCGGUGUGCAGCCCGCAUGUGCGUCACCUUUAGUCCCGGUUUGUGUCUCAAACUGGGACUAAAGUCCUCUGCCUAUAUAUAGCACAGCCCCCCUCUCNNNNNNNNNNGGGUCUUUGACCGGGACCCUUUAGUCCCGGCCUGCCUUUGGACCGGGACUAAAGGCCCGGCCACGUCGCCCCAAUUCCCAAUGCCUUCCUCGAGGCUUUAGUCCCGGCCCGUAAGGAGCCUUUGGUCCCGGUUCGUGUUCCAAACCGGGACUAAAGGGCUACGCUGUGUGCAGCCCGCAUGUGUGCCACCUUUAGUCCCGGUUUGUGUCUUNNNNNNNNNNNNNNNNNNNNNNNNNNNNNNNNNNNNNNNNNNNNNNNNNNNNNNNNNNNNNNNNNNNNNNNNNNNNNNNNNNNNNNNNNNNNNNNNNNNNAUGUGACUGACUCGUCAUUCGAGAAGUUGCUGGUACUGAUGAAGAAGAUGCUUCCAAGAAAGAACGAAUUUCCCGCCAGCACGUACGAAGCAAAGAAGCUUAUCUGCCCUCUAGGAUUAGACGUGCAGAAGAUACAUGCAUGCCCUAAUGACUGCAUCCUCUACCGCGGUGAGAAGUACGAGAAUAUGGAUAAAUGCCCGGUAUGCACUGCAUUGCGGUAUAAGAUCAGAAAAGAUGACCCUGCAGAUAUCGAGGGCGAGCCACCCAGGAAGAGGGUUCCUGCCAAGGUGAUGUGGUAUGCUCCUAUAAUACCAUGGUUGAAACGUCUGUUUAGAAAUAAAGAUCAUGCGAAGUUGUUGCGAUGGCACAUGGAAGAUCGUAUGAAAGACGAUAAGUUGAGGCACACCGCUGAUGGCCGGCAGUGGAGAAAAAUCGAGAGAGAGUUCCCGAGAUUUGCAGCUGACGCAAGGAAUUUAUGGUUAGGUGUGAGUACAGAUGGCAUGAAUCCUUUUGGGGAGCAGAGUUGCAGUCACAACACCUGGCCCGUUACUCUAUGCAUCUACAACCUUCCUCAUUGGUUGUGCAUGAAGCGGAAGUUCAUUAUGAUGCCAGUGCUUAUACAAGGUCCAAAGCAAACCGACAACGAUAUUGAUGUGUAACUAAGACCAUUAGUUGAUGAACUUUUACAGCUGUGGGCCGAACGAGGUGUACGUGUGUGGGACGAGCACAAACAAGAGGACUUUGACCUUCGAGCGUUGCUUUUCGUAACCAUCAAUGAUUGGCCUGCUCUUAGUAACAUUUCAGGACAGUCAAACAAGGGAUACAAUGCAUGCACACACUGUUUGGAUCAGACAGAAAGUAUAUAUCUUGACAAAUGUAGGAAGAAUGUGUAUCCGUACAAUCGUCGUUUUCUUCCACCCAACCAUCCCUUAAAGCAAAAAAGGCAAGCAUUUCAAUGGCAAGGCAGAACCCCGGGGGAAGCCUGUCAUCCGUAUUGGUGCUGAAGUAUUUGAUAUGGUCAAAGAUUUAAAAGUAAUCUUUGGAAAGGGUCCUGGCAGCCAACCUGUUCCUAACGGCCCUGAUAAGCGCGUACCCAUGUGGAAGAAGAAAUCUAUAUUUUGGAAGCUACCCUACUGGAAAGUCCAUGAGGUCCGCUCGGCAAUCGACGUGAUGCACCUGACGAAGAAUCUCUGCGUGAAUAUUCUAGGCUUCCUGGGCUUGUAUGGGAAGUCAAAAGAUACACCGGAAGCACGGGAGGACCAAGAACGUCAUAAAGAAAGAGAUGGCAUGCAUCCAGGGUAGUUUCAAGGGUGUGCCAGCUACGCUCUUACUAAGGAAGAGAAGGAAAUCUUCUUUGAAGUCCUUUUCAGUAUCAAAGUCCCGACUGGCUUCUCGUCGAAUAUAAAGGGAAUCGUAAAUAUGAAAGACAAAAAAUUCCAAAACCUAAAGUCUCAUGACUGCCACGUGCUUAUGACGCAAUUGCUUCCGGUUGCAUUGAGGGGAAUUCUACCGGAAAAUGUUCGCCUGGCAAUUGUGAAGGUAUGUGCAUUCCUCAAUGCAAUUUCUCAGAAGGUAAUCGAUCGAGAAAGUCUAUCAGGGUUACAGAUUGAUGUGGUCCAAUUUCUGGUCAGCUUUGAGUUGUUGUUCCCGCCAUCCUUCUUCAAUAUAAUGACACACCUCCUAGUUCACCUAGUAGAAGAGAUUAGAAUUCUCGGUCCUGUGUUUCUAAACAAUAUGUUCCCCUUCGAGAGGUUCAUGAGAGUCUUAAAUAAAUAUGUCCUAGCCAAUAAUGUCGCUCAGGUUUUCUAUGUGAAGGACAUGUCUACAAAAACGAGAAAAAGAAAUCAGCAAAAGAAGAUACCGUCCGAUGAGCCAAAACGACACAUAGUUCUUUUAGGGAAAAGAAACAUCGUGGGAGUAGAUGACAAGACAGACAUGUCAGANNNNNNNNNNGAUGUCGCUCAGGUUUUCUAUGUGAAGGACAUGUCUACAAAAACAAGAAAAAGAAAUCAGCAAAAGAAGAUACCGUCCGAUGAGCCAAAACACCACAUAGUUCUUUCAGGGAAAAGAAACAUCGUGGGAGUAGAUGACAAGACAGACAUGUCAGAAGAUUAUAAUAAGUUUCAUGAAAUUCCGCCCUUCAAAGUGAAAACUGACCCAAGCAUCCUACUAAAUGAUGAAGAUUCUCCAUGGCUACGACCUAGAAGAAAACAGAAAUAAUAGAUAGGAAUAUUGGUGCAAUAAUGUAAUAAUAUAUUAAACCUUUUAUGUAAUACAUGUAUGGAAUGUACUAAAUUUCAAACACUUUUCAUUUUCAUAGUAUCCAUGUAAGAGAUGAGUUCUUGUUCGAAACCCUGAUACUUCGAGACAGAUUGUCCGUUUUGUACACGAAGUGCAUCCAGUUUUUGUCGUAGCCCNNNNNNNNNNNNNNNNNNNNNNNNNNNNNNNNNNNNNNNNNNNNNNNNNNNNNNNNNNNNNNNNNNNNNNNNNNNNNNNNNNNNNNNNNNNNNNNNNNNNNNNNNNNNNNNNNNNNNNNNNNNNNNNNNNNNNNNNNNNNNNNNNNNNNNNNNNNNNNNNNNNNNNNNNNNNNNNNNNNNNNNNNNNNNNGGGUCAACUAGCUCAAAAAAAAUAAGUAAAUGCACGAAAUAUACCAAAUGAAGUCAGAAGUUGUUGAAAUUUUGCGAUGUGCCUUUGAAUGGUGCAUUUUAAACACACAAAAAGUAUGGAGUUCAAAUAAGUUCAAAAAAAUGAAAUCCCUUUGUAAGAGAUGAAUUCUCGUUCGAAACCCUGAUACUUCAAGAGAGAUUGUCCGUUUUGUACACAAAGUGCAUCCAGUUUUUGUGGUAGCCCUCUCAACUUUUUAACACAUGCUAUGUGUGUGAAAUGAUGAUAACAUUCCAACUUUCAACAUUUUCAGAGUUCAUUUGUAGUGCUUUUUAAUUUCAGGGUCAACUAGCUCAAAAAAAAAGUAAAUGCACGAAAUAUACUAAAUGAAGUCAGAAAUUGUUGAAAUUUUGUGAUGUGCCUUUGAAUGGUNNNNNNNNNNNNNNNNNNNNNNNNNNNNNNNNNNNNNNNNNNNNNNNNNNNNNNNNNNNNNNNNNNNNNNNNNNNNNNNNNNNNNNNNNNNNNNNNNNNNCCAACGAUGUGAUGUGAUAUAUUGGAUGUAUGAGAUGAUCAUGUUGUAAUAGAUAAUAUCGACUUGCACGUCGAUGGUACGGCAACCAGCAGGAGCCAUAGGGUUGCCUUUAAACUAACGUUUGUGCUUGCAGAUGCGUUUACUAUUUUGCUAGGAUGUAGCUUUAGUAGUAAUAGCAUGAGUAGCACGACAACCCCGAUGGCGACACGUUGAAGGAGAUCAUGGUGUGGCGCCGGCGACAAGAAGAUCGUGCCGGUGCUUUGGUGAUGGAGAUCAAGGAGCACGUGAUGAUGGCCAUAUCAUGUCACUUAUGAAUUGCAUGUGAUGUUAAUCCUUUUAUGCACCUUAUUUUGUUUAGAACGACGGUAGCAUUAUGAGGUGAUCUCUCACAAAAAUUUCAAGACAAAAUUGUCUUCUCCCCGACUGUGCACCGUUGCUACAGUUCGUCAUUUCGAGACACCACGGGAUGAUCGGGUGUGAUAGACUCAACGUUCACAUACAACGGGUGCAAAACAGUUGCACACGCGGAACACUCGGGUUAAGCUUGACGAGCCUAGCAUGUGCAGACAUGGCCUCGGAACAGAUGAGACCGAAAGGUCGAUCAUGAAUCAUAUAGAUGAUAUGAUUAGCAUAGGGAUGCUUACCACUGAAACUAUACUCAACUCACGUGAUGAUCGGACUUGAGCUAGUGUAAGUGGGUCAUGAACCACUCAAAUGACUAGAGAGAUGUACUUUUUGAGUGGGAAUUUAGCAAGUAAUUUGAUUAAGUUAAACUCUAAUUAUCUUAAACAUAGUCUAAGUCCACUUUGAAUAUAUUUGUGUUGUAGAUCAUGGCUCAAGCGACAGUCACCCUGAAUUUUAAUAUGUUCCUAGAGAAAGCUAAGUUGAAAGAUGAUGGAAGCAACUUUGUAGACUGGGCUCGUAAUCUUAAGUUGAUCCUACAAGUUGGGAAGAAGGAUUAUGUCCUUAAUGCUGCGCUAGGAGAUGAACCACCCGCUACGGCUGACCAGGAUGUUGAGAACGCUUGGUUAACACGUAAGGAGGACUACUCAGUAGUUUAAUGUGCAGUCUUGUAUGGCUUAGAACCGGGACUUCAACAUCGCUUUGAGCGUCAUGGAGCAUAUGAGAUGUUCCAGGAGUCGAAGUUCAUCUUUCAGAAGAACGCCCGGAUCGAGAGGUAUGAGACCUCUGAUAAAUUCUAUGCUUGCAAGAUGGAGGAGAAUUCGUCUGUCAGUGAANNNNNNNNNNAAUCCUACAAGCUGGGAAGAAGGAUUAUGUCCUUAAUGCUGCGCUAGGAGAUGAACCACCUGCUACGGCUGAUCAGGAUGUUGAGAACGCUUGGUUAACACGUAAGGAGGACUACUCAGUANNNNNNNNNNCGCGACAGUCACCCUGAAUUUUAAUAUGUUCCUAGAGAAAGUUAAGUUGAAAGAUGAUGGAAGCAACUUUGUAGACUGGGCUCGUAAUCUNNNNNNNNNNCGAUGUGUAGUCUUGUAUGGCUUAGAACCGGGACUUCAACGUCGCUUUGAGCGUCAUGGAGCAUAUGAGAUGUUCUAGGAGUCGAAGUUCAUCUUUCAGAAGAACGCCCGGAUUGAGAGGUAUGAGACCUCCGAUAAAUUCUAUGCUUGCAAGAUGGAGGAGAAUUCGUCUGUCAGUGAACAUGUGCUCAAAAUGUCUCGGUACUCAAACCGUCUAGCUGAGCUGGGGAUUGAACUCCCGCAAGAGGCUAUCACUGACAGAAUCCUUGAAUCACUGCCGCCAAGCUAUAAGGGCUUUGUGUUGAACUACAACAUGCAAGGGAUGAACAAGUCACCCGACGAGUUGUUUGCGAUGCUGAAAGUCGCAGAGUCUGAACUCCGUAAAGAGCAUCAUGUGUUGGUGGUGAAUAAGACCACUAGUUUCAAGAGAAACGGCAAAGGCAAGANNNNNNNNNNGCGAGUUGUUUGCGAUGCUGAAAGUCGCAAAGUCUGAACUCCGUAAAGAGCAUCAAGUGAUGGUGGUGAAUAAGACCACUAGUUUCAAGAGAAACGGCAAAGGCAAGAAGGGUAAUUCAAAGAAGAGCGGCAAGCCUGUUGCCAAUCCGACGAAGAAACCCAAAGCUGGACCUAAGCCUGAAACAGAGUGCUACUAUUGCAAGGGUAUGGGUCACUCGAAGCGCAACUACCCCAAGUAUCUGGCUGAUAAGAAGGCGGCCAAAGAAAAAUCAGGUAUAUUUGAUAUACAUGUUAUUGAUGUGUACUUANNNNNNNNNNNNNNNNNNNNNNNNNNNNNNNNNNNNNNNNNNNNNNNNNNNNNNNNNNNNNNNNNNNNNNNNNNNNNNNNNNNNNNNNNNNNNNNNNNNNUAUAUAUAUAUAUAUAUAUAUAUGUGUGUGUGUGUGUGUGUGUGUUGUAUGAAUUAUGUAUAUUUUGCUGUCAUUUACAGGCUAAGAAGACGGUAAAAAAUAGAUCAUAUUUUGCUGUCAUGUACAGGCUAGGAAGACGGCAAAAAAUAGACCAUAUUUUGUUCUCAUGUGCAUCUUAGGAAGAUGGCAAAAAAAUGCCAUAUUUUGCUGUCACGUAUAGGUUAGGAAGACGGCAAAAAAUGCCAUAUUUUGCUGUCAUGUAUAAGUUAGGAAGACGGCAAAAAAUACCGUAUUUUGCUGUCAUGUGUAGGUUAGGAAGACGGCAAAAAGGCUAACGUCGUCCGUUAGUUAGGCCGUUCCGUCUUCUUACCAUUUUUGUGCCGUCUACCGAUAGUAGCUGGCGGCAAAAUAAUUCCACUGACGGCAAACAUUUUUCCGUCUGCUGUCCUGGUCGCUGACGACAAAGACGUCCUUUGCGGGCACAUGGUCUAACGACAUUAUUUGCCGCCAUGGGCUGACGGCAAAAAUUUUGCCUGCUGUAAUUCGCUCUUUGCCGUCUGUAGCGUCCUGAUGGAAAAAUGCUCGAUUCCUGUAGUGAGACAUCAUAGAUCGCAUCAUCUCUAAUAAAGUACGAUUACGACGUUCGGAGACACCAUUACGCUGUGGUGUUCCAGGCGGUGUAAACUGUGAAACAAUUCCACAUUGUCUUAAGUGAGCACCAAACUCGAAACUCAGAUAUUCACCCCCACGAUCAGACCGUAGGAACUUGAUCUUCUUGUUACGAUGAUUUUCAACUUCACUCUGAAAUUGCUUGAACUUUUCAAAUGUUUCAGACUUGUGCUUCAUUAAGUAGACAUAACCACUAAGAAUUACAGUGUAAAUCCACUGAAAAUUACAGUGUAAAUCCACUAAAAGUACAGUGUAUAUCUACUGAAAAUUAUCAAAUCCNNNNNNNNNNUAUCUACUCAAAUCGUCAAUGAAGGUGAGAAAAUAACGAUAUCCGCCGUGUGCCUCUACGCUCAUCGGACCGCACACAUCGGUAUGUAUGAUUUCCAACAAGUCACUGGCACGCUCCAUUGUUUCGGAGAAAGGAGUUUUUUCAUCUUGCCCAUGAGGCAUGGUUCACACGUGUCAAGUGAAUCAAAGUNNNNNNNNNNNNNNNNNNNNNNNNNNNNNNNNNNNCGGAGUUUUAGUCAUCUUGCCCAUGAGGCAUGGUUCACACGUGUCAAGUGAAUCAAAGUCAAGUGACUCCAAAAGUCCAUCGGCAUGGAGUUUCUUCUUGCGCUUUACACCAAUAUGACCUAAGCGGCAGUGCCACAAAAAUAUGGUGCUAUCAUUGUUAACUCCAACUCUUUUGGUCUGAGUGUUAUGUAUAUGUGUAUCACUAUCAAGAUUCAAUAUGAACAAUCCUCUCACAUUGGGUGCAUGACCAUAAAAGAUGUUACUCAUAGAAAUAGAACAACCAUUAUUCUCUGACUUAAAAGAGUAACCGUCUCGCAAUAAACAAGAUCCAGAUAUAAUGUUCAUGCUCAAUGCAGGCACUAAAUAACAAUGAUUUAAGUUCAUCACUAAUCCCGAUGGUAGCUGAAGUGACACUGUGCCGACGGCGAUUGCAUCAACCUUGGAANNNNNNNNNNNNNNNNNNNNNNNNNNNNNNNNNNNNNNNNNNNNNNNNNNNNNNNNNNNNNNNNNNNNNNNNNNNNNNNNNNNNNNNNNNNNNNNNNNNNUACGGACCCAUAGGUCUGAAGUGAACUACUCACGAGUCAUUGGAGGGGCGAUGAUGAUGAUGAAUAAGCCCUCCAACUCCAAAGUCCCCUCCGGCAGGGUGCUGGGAAGGGUCNNNNNNNNNNGAGAACUUUGUAUUGAAGAUCCAAGAGAGAGAAGAAGCCAUCUAGCUACUAACUACGGACCCAUAGGUCUGAAGUGAACUACUCACGAGUCAUUGGAGGGGUGAUGAUGAUGAUGAAGAAGCCCUCCAACUCCAAAGUCCCCUCCGGCAGGGUGCUGGGAAGGGUCUCCAGAUGAGAUCUCGUGGAAACGGAAGCUUCCGGCGGCCAAAAAGUAUUUUUGAGGCUCCCCUGAUUUUUUGCGGAAUAUUUGGGAAUUUAUAGGACAAAGAUCUAGGUCAAGGGGCGGCCAGGGAGGCCACAAGCCUGCCCACCGCCGCCUCCCCCUGGUGGCGGAGUGGGGGCUUGUNNNNNNNNNNNNNNNNNNNNNNNNNNNNNNNNNNNNNNNNNNNNNNNNNNNNNNNNNNNNNNNNNNNNNNNNNNNNNNNNNNNNNNNNNNNNNNNNNNNNNNNNNNNNNNNNNNNNNNNNNNNNNNNNNNNNNNNNNNNNNNNNNNNNNNNNNNNNNNNNNNNNNNNNNNNNNNNNNNNNNNNNNNNNNNNNNNNNNNAUCAGAUCUGAAAAGAGUCCAAAACACGAAAAAACAGGAACUGGCACUUGGCACUGAGUUAAUAAGUUAGUCCCAAAAAAGAUAUAAAAGGUACAUAAAACAACACUAGUAGAAAACAGGGCUACCGUUCGGCCUUGGCCAGCCCAUUAGUCCCGGUUCUUCAAGAACCCGGACCAAUGGGGGGUAUUAGACCCGGUUCGCGAGCCCAGGGGGCUGGCCGGGGCCUCGUGGGCAUUGGUCCCGGUUCAUGUGGAACUAUUUGUCCCGGUUCGAGCCACGAACCGGGACCAAUGGUCCUCGCUGCGGGCCCACAACCAUUGGUCCCGGUUCGUGGCUUGAACCGGGACAGAUAANNNNNNNNNNAGACCAAUGGGGGGUAUUAGACCCGGUUCGCGUGCCCAGGGGGCUGGCCGGGGCCUCGUGGGCAUUGGUCCCAGUUCAUGUGGAACUAUUUGUCCCGGUUCGGGCCACGAACCGGGACCAAUGGUCCUCGCUGCUGGCCCACAACCAUUGGUCCCGGUUCGUGGCUUGAACCGGGACAGAUAACUUGCCUACAUAUACCCACCGCCGCGGCAGAGCACUCCACAGUGCUCUGUUUUUGUCAAGCCGGCAAGGGGAGGGCAUUUGGGUGCUCUAGUUCACCUCCUAUGCACAUGAGGUGUUCGAUGAAAUGCCCGAGCCACACUAGUUAAGCUUUCUCCUCUCGAAACUCGACCUCCGAGCUCCAUUUCCAAUGAGAUCUGUCUAGAUUUUGCGGUCCGUCACGCCCCGUCUUCACCGCCGUCGAUCGCCCGUGCCGAUCUCGUCGCCGGNNNNNNNNNNUCAAUGAGAUCUGUCUAGAUUUAGCGGUCCGUCACGCCCCGUCCCCGCCCCGUCUUCACCGCCGUCGAUCGCCCGUGCCGAUCUCGUCGCCGGCACCACCGUGGUGAGCCUCUUGUUCUUAUCUUCUUUCUGAAAGAAAAAAAAUUCUGACUUCAGAUAGAUACUUGUCUAAUUUUCUUACUUUUAUUAUUCCUUGUUAUUAUAUAGUGCGAUGGUUUUGGUAUCCGCCCCCGUCGGCCCUCGUCCUGUCUAUGAUUCAGAUGUGGUAUAUAUUAUCUUUUCAUAGCUAUUUGGUUCAUUUAUUGUUUAUGACAAUUAUGCCGACCAAUGUGACAUGGAUUUUAUUUAUCUAGGAGGUUGUUGAACCAGAAAUUCCAACCGACCCUAUUGUCGAGAGGUUAGAUUUAGUUGAAGAAGAAAACAAUUACUUGAAGGAAAAAAUAAGAAAAAUUGAGGAGGAGAAGAUGAUAUUGGAGUUGCAUGUUGCGGAUGUCGUCGAUGAUUUUGACGCUCAGAGUUAAGGAGGACAUGACCUCGUUGGAAUUGAUCUGUUGAAUGUUCCAUUUGAGGUGUUCUUCGAAUUUUUUAAUCACUUGCUACUGCCUGUAAGUAGUACUACUUCUGUCAUUAAGUCUUUAUAUAUAGGUCAGCUCUUUCAUUGCAUGUAUCUUUAAUUAUUCUCACUAUAUUAUGCAGAUUGAAGAUCGCCGGAUUGAAGAAAAGACAAAUCGGUGAUAUUGGGUUCAUUAACACAAAUCUCAUAUAUGCAUAUAUGGUUAAAUUUCAGGCCAAAGAUACCGAGGCCAAGGUGCUACAAUCGUUUAUAUUAAAUCAAAACAAAGCUAUAAUACUCUUCCCUUACAACUUCGAGUGAGUGUUACUGUCUUGUGCAUAUUCGGUUUUCCUUAUUAGUCGAGGUUAUAGUAAUGUAAUUGAUGAGUUAUGCAUGCAUGCGCAUGUUCCACUAUAUUCUCCUAGAGAUUGAGCUUGAGCAGGGACUAGUAACCGUCUUAGACUCGAGACGAAAAGAUCCCAAGAAUUACGCGGACAUGACUGAAAUUCUAGAGAAUUAAGUUAAAUCUAUCAUUAUCGCACCAUAUCGGCAACUUCAAUUUGUUCAUUGCCUGAUAUCAAGUAAUUGUUUUCUUUGUCUGGCAGGGUUUGGAGUAAAUUCACCUCAAAAACUCUGGGACUGCCAAAGAAGCUGCAUUUUAGACACCCGAAAGUAAGUACUAUAGUAGCAUAUAUGUUCCACGCGUCUUCUAUUGAUUCAAGCGCUAGUUUCAUGAAUACCAUUUAGUAUGCUUGCUAAUUACCAGUUUGAUUGACCUCUAUUUCUUGUAAAGUGGUUGUGGCAGGAAGAAUGUACUAAUUACUGUGGAGAGUCCAUCCGCCACACGACCUGUGAGCGGGGCUACUCCGAGAAACAANNNNNNNNNNCAAUACCAUUUAGUAUGCUUGCUAAUUAUCAGUUUGAUUGACCUCUAUUUUUUGUAAAGUGGUUGUGGCAGGAAGAAUGUACUAAUUACUGUGGAUACUAAAUUUGCGAGUCCAUCCGCCACACGACCUGUGAGCGGGGCUACUCCGAGAAACAAUAUGAAGUGCAUAAAUAAUUAUAUUCACAAUUUUAUUUUAUUACCAUCAUUUGUGUUCAGUUUCAUUUAUUCAUAUAUAUGUAUUGACCCCCUUCUUCAAAUUAGAUAUUCCGGAUGCGAGAUGAACUCCUAGCACCAGAUCGUAUGCGAGGAAUUCAAGAGGAAUUGGCGGCAUUCUUUCUUGACCACGUGAUCGCUAAAGACGGAGAAUACUAUGUGGACCCUGCAGGGUUCAAUUUUGAUAUGGACAAGAGUCACAUGAUGUUCACUAGUGAUGUCUCUCUCCCAAAAGACAAUAAACAACUAUGCUAGGGUAAACAAAUCACAGUUGGGAAAUUGACAGAAUUAUCAUCGCACCGCAAUGCUAAUUAUGCUCCUUGAUAGUUAGAGUCAGUAGUAAUGGGCAAUACGCCAAGACAAGUAGACCGUUUAUUCAAAAAUAUCUACUUACUAAUCAUCCACCUUGAGAUAUCUAUCCAGAACAUCUCUCCGGUAUUAAGUUGCGAGCCCCACCCAAAAUGUAAAUUCAAAGCAACGGACAACUGUAUUAACGGACUAUGCGUAAGGUAAACUAUCCUUGCAACCUUGGUCACAAUCACCGUUGUUUUCUCCUUGGUGGCAACAACCACAUCCCUUAGUCUCAUGUUUCUGUCACUCAAGCUAUACAUCGAGGGGCCCGAACCUACAAUCAUGCAUAACGCUCCCUCUUGGAGUUACGAUCUACUACUUGGCCAAAAUAAUAAAAAGCAACAGAGAACAUGCAUGAAUCACUAAGGAACAUAAAAUAAAAGGAUAAUGAAAUAUAAAACUCAUAACAAUCUGAACAUAAUCUCAUAAUCCAUCGGAUCCCAACAAACCGAGCAUAGCAAUAGCAAGAGAAUUACAUAGAUGCCUUGAUCAUGUAGGGCAGCUCACAAGGACUAACCAUUGAAGCACAAGAUUGGAGAGAAGACAUCACAUAGCUACUGGUCAUGGACUCAUGGUCCAAGGGAAACUACUCACGGUACUUCCGGGAGGCGUCCAUGGUGGUGGAGAAGCUCACGGAGGUCAAUCCUCCCUCCGGCAGGGUGCCGGGAAUAGGUCUUCUGACGCUCCCAAUAUCAAAAGCGCUGCGGCGGCGGAAGGAUGGAGAAAUUCGUGAUUUCAGAAAGUCUGCGAGGGUUUCCUCACGGAACACUAAAUAUAGGCCAAAGGAGGGCACCAGAGGAGGUGGGGCCCACCCAAGCGACCUCCUGGGGCGGCCUAGGGCCUGGCCGCGCCAGCAGGCCGCCUGGGAGGCCCCUGGCCCCCCGCUGGCCUUCCUUCGGCGAUCUCGAAGAUUUUGUUUUGCUGAUUUUUUUAUAUAUUUUUCUAGAUUUUUUGGGCUUUGGAAAAUUAGGUAAAAGUCCCUGCAAAAAAGAAAUCAGCAGACAAAAACUGGCACUGGGUGCACUAAGUUAGUAGGUAAGUCCAAAUAUGUGUAAUAUGAUAUAAAAAUAUAGAAAAACAUGUAACAAUGUCACCCAAAUGAUCAUNNNNNNNNNNGAAACUGGCACUGGGUGCACUAAGUUAGUAGGUUAGUCCAAAUAUGUGUAAAACGAUAUAAAAAUAUAGAAAAACAUGUAACAAUGUCACCCAAAUGAUCAUGGAACAAGCAGAAAUUAUAUAUACAUUUGGGACGUAUCAGCGGGCUUGUGGCAAUCACCGCUAUCAAGAGCGUCGGGUCCUCGUCAUGCCGGUCGGCAGCCUGGCCUGCUUGUUCGGCGACGUUCGCCUCCUCGCAUAGGUGGGUCCUGCACUCCCGUGCCCAAUGUCGAUAUUUCUUGCAAUAGCGGCACUGGUCCGUUGGUUUGGCAGGACUGCUGGAGCCGCCCCCUCGCCCGCAACAUCCGCCGCCGCGUUCCUGUCCAAAGCUGCUGCAUCCUGAUCUGUCGUUCUAGUGGCGUUGCUGGCGCGCGUGCCACUCCUCCGCUAUCAUNNNNNNNNNNGACGUCCGCCGCCGCGUUCCGGUCCAAAGCUGCUGCAUCCUGAUCCGUCGUUCUAGUGGCGUUGCUGGCGCGCGUGCCACUCCUCCGCUAUCAUGAGGAGCCGGCCACCGCCCACGUCUGCACGUCGUAGCGUUCCUUCGCCGCCUUCAACCGCCCGACAGCUCUUCCAUCGAGAGAUUGUCAACGUCGACAAGGGUCUCAAUGGAUAGUGCAAUCUGAGAUUACUGUCGGGGGACGACGGAGAGGAACUUGCACACGACCUUCUUCUCCAGGAUCGACUCGCCAUGUAGGCUUAGCUGAUUCACCAUACCUAUGAAUCACAUGGCGAAGUCGUCGAUGCACACACCGUCGUUGAAUGCCACGGCGAUGUAUUGCUUGUUGAGGGUAGCCGCCUUGGCCUCGUGCAGUCGAGCAAUGCCGAGGCGCAUCGUCUUGAGGGCGUCUUAUGCCUCCUUUGCCGUGCCCUUGGCUUCGAGAGUCGCCACCAUCUCGGGAGGCACCCCUCGAAGAAUUGCCUCCAGGGUGAGAUGAUCGUCGUUGCGCACCGUCGUGCCCCUUUCGGUUGCCUCACAGAGGUAACACCCCUCGAGCAUCACCUACAUCAGGAUGGCCCAGUCUGUAGUAAUUAACCUAGUUGUAGUCUAAACGUACACGUGUGUCCUAAUNNNNNNNNNNNNNNNNNNNNNNNNNNNNNNNNNNNNNNNNNNNNNNNNNNNNNNNNNNNNNNNNNNNNNNNNNNNNNNNNNNNNNNNNNNNNNNNNNNNNUACGCGCACGAAGACCUAUCAUGGUGAUGUCCAUCUACGAGAGGGGAUUUCCGAUCUACCUACCCUUGUAGAUCGCACAGCAGAAGCGUUAGUGAACGCGGUUGAUCUAGUGGAACGUCCUCACGUCCCUCGAUCCGCCCCGCGAACUGUCCCACGAACCGUCCCGCGAUCCGUCCCACGAUCUAGUGCCGAACGGNNNNNNNNNNCCUCGAUCCGCCCCGCGAACCGUCCCGCGAACCGUCCCGCGAUCCGUCCCACGAUCUAGUGCCGAACGGACGACACGUCCACGUUCAACACACGUACAGCUCGACGAUGAUCUCGGCCUUCUUGAUCUAGCAAUAGAGACGGAGAGGUAGAUGAGUUCUCCGGUAGCGUGACGGCGCUCCGAAGGUUGGUGGUGAUCUGAUCUCGGCAGGGCUNNNNNNNNNNUGAUUGCCGGAAAGUUUUCGGAGUUACUGGGAAUGACGAAUGGGUUCCGGGUGUUCACCGGGGGGGUAACCCACCCCGGGGAAGCCCAUAGGCCUUGGGGGUGGCGCACCAGCCCNNNNNNNNNNGCGUCCUCACGUCUCUCGAUCCGCCCCGCGAACCGUCCCACGACCCGUCCCGCGAUCCGUCCCACGAUCUAGUGCCGAACGGACGGCACCUCCGCGUUCAGCACACGUACAGCUCGACGAUGAUCUCGGCCUUCUUGAUCCAGCAAGAGAGACGGAGAGGUAGAUGAGUUCUCCGGCAGCGUGACGGCGCUCCUGAGGUUGGUGGUGAUCUGAUCUCGGCAGGGCUCCGCCCGAGCUCCGCAANNNNNNNNNNUCUCGAUCCGCCCCGCGAACCGUCCCACGAACCGUCCCGCGAUCCGUCCCACGAUCUAGUGCCGAACGGNNNNNNNNNNAAACGCGAUCUAGAGGUAAAACCGUGGAGGUAUGUGGUCGGGCUGCCUUUGAAAUGUUGUAUCAAAUCAGCCCUAAUACCUGUGUAUAUAUAGGUGGGAGGGGAGGGGCCUUGCCUUGAGGCUCAAGGAGCCCCAAGGGGGUUGGCCGAACCAAGGGGGGAAGUCCUCCCCUUCCAAACCGAAUCCAACUAGGAUUGGAACGUGGAGUCCUUCUCUCCUUCCCCACCUCCCCUUUUUUUCUUUCUCUUUGAUUUCUUAUCCUUAGGCGCAUAUGGCCUUCUUGGGCUGAUUUGAGACAACAUUUCAAAGGCAGCCCGACCACAUACCUCCACGGUUUUANNNNNNNNNNAAUCAGCCCUAAUACCUCUGUAUAUAUAGGUGGGAGGGGAGGGGCCUUUCCUUGAGGCUCAAGGAGCCCCAAGGGGGUCGGACGAACCAAGGGGGGAAGUCCUCCCCUUCCAAACCGAAUCCAACUAGGAUUGGAACGUGGAGUCCUUCUCUCCUUUCCCACUUCCCCCUUUUUUCUUCUUUGAUUUCUUAUCCUUUGGCGCAUAGGGCCUUCUUGGGCUGUCCCACCAGCCCAUCAAGGGCUGGUGCACCACCCCCAAGGCCUAUGGGCUUCCCCGGGGUGGGUUGCCACCCCGGUGAACACCCGGAACCCAUUUGUUAUUCCCGGCACAUUCCCGGUAACUUCGAAAACCUUCCGGCAAUCUAAUGAGGUCAUCCUAUAUAUCAAUCUUCNNNNNNNNNNCCAAGGGCUGGUGCGCCAUCCCCAAGGCCUAUGGGCUUCCCCGGGGUGGGUUGCCCCCCCGGUGAACACCCGGAACCCAUUUGUCAUUCCCGGCACAUUCCCGGUAACUCCGAAAACCUUCCGGCAAUCUAAUGAGGUCAUCCUAUAUAUCAAUCUUCNNNNNNNNNNGUCCCCCCGGUGAACACUCGGAACCCAUUCGUCAUUCCCGGUAACUCGGAAACCCUCGUGACGUCCGUGAUCUCAUCCGGGACUCCGAACAACAUUCGGUAACCAACCAUAUAACUCAAAUGUGCAUAAAACAACGUCGAACCUUAAGUGUGCAGACCCUGCGGGUUCGAGAACUAUGCAGACAUGACCGGAGUGACUCCUCGGUCAAUAUACAAUAGCGGGACCUGGAUGCCCAUAUUGGAUCCCACAUAUUCUACGAAGAUCCUAUCGUUUGAACCUCAGUGCCAAGGAUUCAUAUAAUCCCGUAUGUCAUUCCCUUUGUCCUUCGGUAUGUUACUUGCCCGAGAUUCGAUCGUCAGUAUCCGCAUACCUAUUUCAAUCUUGUUUAGCGGCAAGUCUCUUUACUCGUUCCGUAAUACAAGAUCUCGCAACUUACACUAAGUCACAUUGCUUGCAAGGCUUGUGUGUGAUGUUGUAUUACCGAGUGGGCCCCGAGAUACCUCNNNNNNNNNNCAUCGUCAGUAUCCGCAUACCUAUUUCAAUCUCGUUUAGCGGCAAGUCUCCUUACUCGUUCCGUAAUACAAGAUCUCGCAACUUAUACUAAGGCUUGUGUGUGAUGUUGUAUUACCGAGUGGGCCCCGAGAUACCUCUCCGUCACAGGGAGUGACAAAUCCGAGUCUCGAUCCAUACUAACUCAACGAACACCUUCGGAUAUACCUGUAGAGCAUCUUUAUAGUCACCCAGUUACGUUGCGAAGUUUGAUACACACAAAGCAUUCCUCCGGUGUCAGUGAGUUAUAUGAUCUCAUGGUUAUAGNNNNNNNNNNUGACGUGAUCCAGUUAUCAAGCAACAACACCUUAUACAUAAUCAGAAGACCCUGACUAUCUUUGAUCAACUGGCUAGCCAACNNNNNNNNNNGAACAAAUACUUGACACGCAGAAAACAGUAGCAACAAAAUGACACGAUCAACAUGCUACGUCUAUUAGUUCGGGUCUAGUCCAUCACGUGAUUCUCCUAAGGACGUGAUCCAGUUAUCAAGCAACAACACCUUGUACAUAAUCAGAAGACCCUGACUAUCUUUCAUCAACUGGCUAGCCAACUAGAGGCUUGCUAGGGACAGUGUUUUGUCUAUGUAUCCACACAUGUAUAUAAGUCUUUAUUCAAUACAAUUAUAGCAUGGAUAAUAAAAAAUUAUCUUGAUACAGUAAUUAUAAUAAUAACUAUAUUUAUUAUUGCCUCUAGGGCAUAAUUCCAACAGUCUUCCACUUGCACUAGAGUCAAUAAUCUAGCCCUCACAUCAUCAUGCGAAUUACAUUGUAAUAAAUCUAACACCCACAUAGUUCUGGUGUUGAUCAUGCUUUGCCCGUGGAAGAGGUUUAGUUAGCGGGUCUGCUACAUUCAGAUCCGUGUGCACUUUGCAUAUAUUUACGUCCUCCCCUUCGACGUAGUCGCGGAUGAGGUUGAAGCGUCGCUUGAUGUGUCUGGUCUUCUUGUGAAACCGUGGUUACUUUGCUAAGGCAAUGUCAUCCGUGUUGUCACAGAACAAGGUUAUUGGAUUCAGUGCGCUUGGCACUAUUCCAAGAUCCGUCAUGAACUACUUCAUCCAGACACCCUCCUUAGCCGCCUCCGAGGCAGCCAUGUACUCCGCUUCACAUGUAGAAUCUGCUACGACGCUUUGCUUGGAACUGCACCAGCUUACCGCACCCCCAUUAAGAAUAAAUACGUAUCCGGUCUGCGACUUAGAGUCAUCCGGAUCUGUAUCAAAACUUGCAUCGACGUAACCCUUUACGGCGAGCUCUUCGUCACCUCCAUACACGAGAAACAUCUCCUUAGUCCUUUUCAGGUACUUCAGGAUAUUCUUGACCGCCGUCCAGUGAUCCACUCCUGGAUUACUCUGGAACCUUCCUGCCAUACUUAUGGCCAGGCUAACGUCCAGUCUAGUGCACAGCAUUGCAUACAUGAUAGAUCCUAUGCUGAAGGAUAGGGGACGGUGCUCAUAUGUUCUCUAUCUUUAUCAGUUGCUGGGCACUGAGUCUUACUCAAUCUCGUACUUUGUAAAACCGGCAAGAACCCUUUCUUGGACUGUUCCAUUUUGAACCUCUUCAAAACUUUAUCAAGGUAUGUGCUUUGUGAAAGUCCUAUCAGGCGUUUCGAUCUAUCCCUGUAGAUCUUAAUGCCUAGAAUGUAAGCAGCUUCUCCUAGGUCCUUCAUAGAGAAACUUUUAUUCAAGUAAUCCUUUAUGCUCUCCAAAAACUCUACUUUGUUUCCAAUCAGCAAUAUGUCAUCCACAUAUAAUAUUAGAAACGCCACAGAGCUCCCACUCACUUUCUUGUAAAUACAAGAUUCUCCAACCACUUGUAUAAACCCAAAUGCUUUGAUCACCUCAUCAAAACGUUUGUUCCAACUCCGAGAUGCUUGCACCAGUCCAUAAAUGGAUCGCUGGAGCUUGCAUACCUUGUUAGCAUUCUUAGGAUCGACAAAACCUUUGGGUUGCAUCAUAUACAACUCUUCCUUAAGGAAACCGUUAAGGAACGCCGUUUUGACAUCCAUCUGCCAGAUUUCAUAAUCGAAAAAUGCAGCUAUUGCUAACAUGAUUCUCAUGGACUUAAGCAUCGCUACGGGUGAGAAUGUCUCAUCGUAGUCAACUCCUUGAACUUGUGAAAAACCCUUUGCCACAAGUCAAGCUUUAUAAACGGUCACAUUGCCGUCAACGUCCGUCUUCUUCUUAAAUAUCCAUUUGUUCUGAAUAGCCUUGCGACCCUCAGGUAGUACUUCCAAAGUCCACACUUUGUUUUCAUACAUGGAUCCUAUCUCAGACUUCAUGGCCUCCAGCCAUUUGUUGGAAUCUGGGUCCACCAUUGCGUCUUCAUAAUUUGCAGGUUCAUUGUUGUCUAACAACAUGAUUGACAAAACGGGAUUACCGUACCACUCUGGAGCAGCACGUGGUCUCGCCGACCUGCGUGGUUCGACAGGAACUUGAAUCGGAGUUUCAUGAUCAUCAUCAUUAACUUCCUCCUCAACCGGCGUCGCAACGAUAGAGGUUUCCCCUUGCCCUGCGCCACCAUCUAGAGGGAUGAGAGGUUUGACAACCUCAUCAAGCUCUAUCUUCCUCCCACUCAAUUCUCUCGAGAGAAACUCCUUCUCGAGAAAAGCUCGGUUUUUAGCAACAAACACUUUGCCAUCGGAUUUGAGAUAGAAGGUGUACCCAACUGUCUCUUUUGGGUAACCUAUGAAAAUGCACUUUUCCGCUUUGGGUUCUAGCUUUUCAGGCUGAAGCUUUUUGACAUAAGCAUCACAUCCCCAAACUUUAAGAAACGACAACUUUGGCCUUUUGCCAUACCACAGUUCGUAUGGUGUCGUCUCAACGGAUUUUGAUGGUGCCCUAUUUAAAGUGAAUGCAGCCGUGUCUAAUGCAUAACCCCAAAACGAUAACGGCAAAUCGGUAAGAGACACUACAGGAAUUAGCUAUUUUGCCUACAGGUAUAAUCUUUGCCGUCAGCAAAUCCUCGGGNNNNNNNNNNCAACUUUUCAGGCUGAAGCUUUUUGACAUAAGCAUCACAUCCGCAAACUUUAAGAAACGACAACUUUGGCCUUUUGCCAUACCACAGUUCAUAUGGUGUCGUCUCAACGGAUUUUGAUGCUGCCCUAUUUAAAGUGAAUGCAGCCGUGUCUAAUGCAUAACACCAAAACGAUAACGGCAAAUAGGUAAGAGACACUACAGGAAUCAGCUAUUUUGCCUACAGGUAUAAUCUUUGCCGUCAGCAAAUCCUCGGGGUUGACGGCAAACGGUUACUUUGCCGUCAUGGGCAGACGGCAAACAAAUACUAUCGUCAAAAAUAAAUAAAAAUAGACGGUAAAAAAAUACACACGGCAACAUAAAGUUUUUCCGUCAAUUAUUUGGCCAGAUGACGGCAAAGGUAGCAUUUUUACCGUCUUCUUACGCGCGGGCUGACAGCAAAAGUUUGUGCGUGUCUGCGUUAACGGGCCUAAACGGACACAUGAUUUGCUGUCUUUUAUUNNNNNNNNNNGUAGACGGCAAAAAAAUACACACGGCAACACAAAGUUUUGCCGUCAAUUAUUUGGCCAGAUGACGGCAAAGGUAGCAUUUUUAUCGUCUUCUUACGCGCGGGCUGACGGCAAAAGUUUGUGGGCGUCUGCGUUAACGGGCCUAAACGGACACAUGAUUUGCUGUCUUUUAUUUGGGCCAGCUGACGGCAACGAGUGAAACAAAUAAAUCUUUGUCGUCUCGUGCUCUACUCCGAAGACGGCAACGAGUGAAAAAAAUAAAAAAAACCAGCCACCCCAGCCCAGAUCACCUCACCUCUCGUGACACCCCUAAAAAAAAAGCUCACAUCUUAUCCUCGCGCGCACAGGUUACUGAAGGUCACCACCGGCCGUCGGCCUCCUUUGUCGCCGCCACUGGGAUCCCCGGCCGUCGCCGCCUCCGACCUCCGGCCUCCCGGUGGUCGCCACUGGACCGGCCAGUUCGCGCCUCCCCGCCGGUCGCAGCCCGGCCCUCUCCUCUCCUCUCCAGUAGCCGCGAGCCUCCCAGCCAUCGCCGGUGAACUCCCCAGCUGCCGCCGCCUCCCUGCCAGUCGUCCCACCGCCGGUCACCGGUCGCCGUGCCCCCAAGGAUCCAGGCCGGGGCUGCGGUCUCCCCCAAGGUCAGUCCAGUCCAGUUGUGCCCCGAUUGGUUCGGCGUUUUCCAGCCCAAAACAAUUGUAUUAGUCGGAGCUGUUUUGGUGGCGUUAGUUCGUGACUAGAUGAGGCGUUAGUCCAGUCCAGUUGUGCCCCGUCUGGAUCCUAAAAUCGCGCUUGCUUCGGUUGUUUUGGUGGCGUUAGUUCGUAACUUUACUUACGUGUCACAAAAGAACACUAGAACCAGGAAGAAUACUAGAACAAAAGUAGUCUGGGGAGACAAGAACAGAGAAAUUACUUGCAAGUUUCUGAAUUCGUAGCUACAGAAUUGCAACCUACACAGCAAAACCAAAAUGACAUCAGGGUAAAUAAUAAAAUAAAGAAACAACCAAAUGCAUGAAAGUAAAUUACAAAGAAGACAGAGAUUGGCUACCUCAGAUUGGCUACCUCACAAUGCUCAGUGCGAAAAAUCCACAUAAUAGACCCUACUCAACCGCAGAGUACAAGGGUAAAAACCAACUAACAGUCCCUAGUCAAAUUCACUAAAGGUAGAAUCCACUGAAAAAUUACAGUCUAAACCCACUUAGAGUUAUAGUGUAAAUCCUGUAAAAUCAACUAAAGAUAAUACAAAAAUAAUCCACAUAAUAGUCCCUGGUCAAAUGCAAAUUACAAGGGUAAAACCCCACUAAUAGACCCGAGCCAAAAUACACUAAGGAUUACAGUGUAAAUACACUAAAAACUAAACUGUAAAAAUCAAGAGUUACAGUACAAAUAGAAGAUAAAUCCAAGAAUAUCUAACAGUCACUACAAAAACACUAGGGAUUACAGUGUAACUUCUCUAAGAAUUACACUAUAAAAAUCAAGAGAUACAGUGUAAUUCUUAUAGGAUUACAAUGAAAGAUCAGCUAAAACCUUCAUAGUAAAUCCACUAAGAAUUACAGUGUAAAUCCAUUGCAAAUCACAGUAUAAAUCCACUAAAAGUACAGUGUAUAUCUACUGAAAAUUAUCAAAUCCNNNNNNNNNNUAGAGGCUUCCUAGGGACAGUGUUUUGUCUAUGUAUCCACACAUGUAUAUAAGUCUUUAUUCAAUACAAUUAUAGCAUGGAUAAUUAACGAUUAUCUUGAUAUAGGAAUUAUAAUAAUAACUAUAUUUAUUAUUGCCUCUAGGGCAUAAUUCCAACACCGGAUUCCGUGCUGAUGACAUUGGCGGAGUUCAAGACGGCAAGAGAGGCGUGGAACGCACUCAAGGAGAUGAGGAUCGGAGAAGAUCGCGUCACCAAGGCUCGGGCACAAGUGCCGACGCGCCAAUUUCACAAGUUGCAGAUGGAGAAAAUUGAAUCGGUGAACGACUACGCCAUGCGUCUUACUACUCUGGUGGGAGAGAUCUGCGCGCUUGGUUCAAAACUCGAGGAGANNNNNNNNNNNNNNNNNNNNNNNNNNNNNNNNNNNNNNNNNNNNNNNNNNNNNNNNNNNNNNNNNNNNNNNNNNNNNNNNNNNNNNNNNNNNNNNNNNNNGACAAGACUCCGUAUGAAGCAAUUUACGGACGUAAGCCAUGGGCCGGUCAUCAUCAUUGUCGGCGAGCGUCAAGGAGGACCCAGCGUCCCCGCCGAGCCACCACGUGAAGCGCGAUGACACGUCCCCGCUCCGGCGGGUCAAGGGCGAAUCUUCUCACCCUAUCGCAACCGCGGCGUUCAGAUCUGAAGUCUGGUCAAGGACGAGCCGACAUUGCUCCGGCGCAGAAGCUGUAAAAUUUAACAGGCCGCGAGUAGCACUCCAGCAGUGAUGCUAAACUACAGCACGCGUGCCGAGCACAAACAUAUUUUCCACUCAAACAUAGAACCAAGAAGAUCAAAGAUACAAAAAAAUAAAUCAACAAUAAAUAGUUCACUUAUUAUUCCAAUUAAACAAAUAGUUAAUGAAAAAUACAAUAAAUAGUUCACGAAUUAUGCAACAAAUAGUUUAUUUUCAGUACAACAAAUAGUUCCUAUAACAUCAACUCAUACGUUGCCUAUUGAAUGACCAUGCACCACUCCUCGACUGGAUCAUUUUAAAGCUCAUUAUGCGUUUCGGCACGUAGAAUGGCAUGAUAGGAGGUAACAUAGCGGGCCACCCUUCCACCGCUCCUACGCACUAGCAUGGGUCUUCCCAUCNNNNNNNNNNCGAAUGGCAUGAUAGGAGGUAACAUAACGGGCCACCCUUCCACCGCUCCUACGCACUAGCAUGGGUCUUCCCAUCAACUCGUACUGAGAAUUGUCUAAAUCUUGUCCACAUUCAUUGUCGAUGAUCAUGUUAUGCUUGAUCACACAAGCACUUAUGAAAAACCCGAUCAUGCCUUACAAGUUUCUUCGUAAUGUGUUUAAACAACUCGAUGCUCAUCCUAAAACGGCGCCAAAAGUAUGAUGUGGAGUAUGUGGAUUUCUCCACAAAGUAGCUCCUCAUUAAUCUGUUAUGGGCAUCAAUCCUUUCCCUCCAUAAUUUUUUAUAAUCGAAAACCGAAUCAUCGUGUUUCGAUUUUUUUAUCGACGUGGAUAGUUAGGAUUAUUAAGAUUUCCUUCUCCUNNNNNNNNNNCGGAGUAUGUGGAUUUCUCCACCAAGUAGCUCCUCAUUAAUCUGUUAUGAGAAUCAAUCCUUUCCCUCCAUAAUUUUUAUAACCGAAAACCGAAUCAUCGUGUUUCGGUUUUUUUAUCGACGUGGAUAGUUAGGAUUAUUAAGAUUUCCUUCUCCUCUUGAAGAUCAAAUUCUCCAUCGGAAGAAUAAUAGGAAGAACCCAUCCGCAAACAUGAAUUACAACUAAUUCAAAACUACAAGCAACAUACAUCAAAUUCAUCUACAAAUAUAAAGCUAAGCACUAUAUACCUUGUAAGUAUUUUUACAAACACUUUGUGGACAACGUGGUGCAAAUGGCCGUUAGACUCUGUUUUUUCGGAGGAACCGAGCGCUCAAGGGACGGCGACGAGGAGAGUAGAUAGAGGAAUCAGCGGGGGCUGCUUGGAGCAGCAGGGGAUCUGCAGCGCGCUGGGGAGAGGUGUGGGAAACGCUGACAGCAGGAGUGGGCGGAGGCGCCGGCGUCAGGAGGUUUCAGAUCCGACUGUUGAUGGUUCGCAUGUGAUUUUAUUUUUGUGCAGCGCGCUGAAAUGGACACAUGAAAUAAACCACUCGAUGUAGUUAUCUAGUUAAUUAAAUAAGGCCAAGGNNNNNNNNNNNNNNNNNNNNNNNNNNNNNNNNNNNNNNNNNNNNNNNNNNNNNNNNNNNNNNNNNNNNNNNNNNNNNNNNNNNNNNNNNNNNNNNNNNNNGUCACCUUCACGCCCUGCCACAGAUUAAAGAGCGAUGUCGCCAGAUCCAUCGCGCACAUGCCGCACCACCCCGUCUCAAGCGAGCGCGUGUCCGCCCAUGUAGCCGUCUGUAACGUCCAAGAUGUGAUUCUUUCCACAUUUGGAGGCGAGGCCUCAAUAGGGAAAGAGGUGCAUCUUAUCAUUUUGCAAGUACAUCAACCAUUGCAUUACAUACAAGAACAGAUGAGUUUAUUAGUUGGCUUACACUCACCACAAAUUCAGUUACAAAUCCACUCAACUAUUUAUUCAAGCCUCCAUAAGACAUGGUCCGGCUACGGACAAGAUAAAAAACAAAAUAGCAAUGAGUCUAUCUCGCUAGGACCAAGAGACGAACAAGGUCCUCUAGUCGUCGGGGUACGUCACGUACAUAUGCCCAAUUCCUUCGUCGAUCUCCCACGGCAACCGAGUAGCAUCAAAAGCAUCUGGAUCUCCUGCACUUGGACCUGUGGUUGCGUAGUAAUGUGUGAGCCACGAGGACUCAAUAAUCUUAUGACCAUGAUAGCGAGUCUAACCAAGUUACUAGGUGAGGAUGGAGAAUGUGUUUGAGUUUGCAGCAACACUAAGCAUUUAUGGUGGCUAACUUACGAGAACAUAAAGUAAAAUGAGUGGUCCACGCAUGACGGUCAUGACCUAAUAAUAAUCACUAAGUAAUCCUGAACACCUACUUACGUCAGUCGUAACCCCACCGUGUUCUCGAUCGGAGAAGGAGCUUCGAAGGAAACAGUCACGGUUAUGCAUACAGUUGGCAUGUUUUAGGUAAGUUAUUUCAAGUUAUCUAGAACCGGAUGUUAAACAAAGUUUUCAUGUUGCCACAUAAAUGUGGCCUCGGCUUUCCGAACGAUUUAACCCUGCAGGGCUGCUCCAACUAAUCCAACACAAAUUACCACAAGAUGCAUAGAAAGCCUCGAUCAUGAAACUCGUGAUCUCCUUGGUUUCCUUAGUGGAAAACUCAAUCUGAGAUAACCCAAAGCAACAGUGGAAUCCCGAUGCACAAGAUAUAUCGUCAAGGUAAAACAAGUCCAGCAAGACCACACGACGUGGUCAUGACCCCGAUAAGAGCCGCGUAUCUCAGUCUCAGGACACAUCGAACAAGCUAAGCGUACGGUGGCCUGAUAGAAAUCCCCCAGGUUUCCCUGGGGUGGCCACGCACGGUGCUCUAGUUUGGACCAACACUCAUGAGGAGCACUGGUCCGGGGGUUGAUUAAAUUAUCCUCAAGGUAGCUAUUCCCCAUGCUUUUUAAUUAUUAAGUCAUUAGCAAAUGUAGUACCAAAGUUGGGUCUUGACAGACAAGUCUUAAGCCAAAACGAUUAAUCAAGCGGGCCGCCAUAACACCUCGAGCGUGUUAAGAGUGCUCAAUUAUGGAAUAAAACACCGGUAACCGAAAUUAGGGCGGGAAAGGCGGAACAAAUCACCGAGAAAAAGGCCAACCUUCCGCCUUUUACCAGGUAUAUAGGUGCAUUAAUGAAAUAGCAUUAACUAAGAUUAUAAUCAAAUUGCGCAUGUUAUCACAUGGACCAGCUUGCACCUGCAACUAGCAAUGCUAUAAGAUGGUUGAGCAAGCACUAACUUAGCCAAUCAAUGUUUUGCUAGGAGGUGAAGGGUUAGAGGGUUUCAUGACAAUGUUUGGAGGUUUAAUAUUCAGGUGGUAGGCAGCGAUAAGUAACGAUGGAAACAAUUCAUCUAGGCAUAACAAAAUUACAAACAAUAUCAAGGUCACAAUCAUCUUGCCUAUUGGAUCCUCUGACUCGAACUGCUAUUGCCCUUCCUGAACGUACUCAACGAAAUCCUCGCACUCGUUCUUCGCACCCGUUUCUACCCAAAAUCAGUAUACAUCCAAUAAACACACAUCAAGUAAUAAUGCUUCAAACAAUAUGAUACAUGUGUGUGGCAUGAAAGAAAACAUGGAAUUGCUACACUUUCAUCUUUCCAUGCACUUAUUAAGUUAUUAGCAUUCUGAACAGAACCUCAAGUCAACUUAUUUUGACAUGCAUGAAAAUAAUAGAAAUGGAUGCAUCAUGAGAAAACGGUAUGUCGCCUAUAGUAAUAUAGCACACCGUGAGGAAUCCUUUGUCCGUGGCAGCUAGCCUGGGUUUAGUAAAGUAUAGUACUCUAUAGUAGUAUAGAACACUGAGAGAUAGAUAGAUGCUCAUUGUGUGGACAUAAAGUACCCCCCCCCCCCCCCCCCAAAUAAAAAUAAUGCCCAUCAACGGCAUUGUCAUAAAGCAAACAAGUUGCUGGNCAACGGCAUUGUCAUAAAGCAAACAAGUUAGCUGGUCACCAGACUACUUCCUUGCGAUUUUAUGAUAAAAUUAGAUGAACUGUGUAAACGAUGCCGCUUCUCCGUCAUGCUGAUGCAUCACAUUGUCACCCUGAAACUCAAACUCUUAAUCGUGGAGACGUUUCAAACGCUCAUCCUCUACGAUCAUAUUGUGCAUGAUCACACAAGCUAGCUUGGGAUUAGUAUAGUAUAGUACUCUAUAGUAGUAUAGCACACUCGAGAUAGAUCGAUGCUCAUCGGGAGGAAUCCUUGCAAGUUGUGUUGAGAUAAACCCAGUCCCCAACGGAUUUGUCAUACGGCAAACAAGUUGCUUGCCACAGGACUACUUCCUCGUGUCCAAAUCGUGCAGUAUGGCACAUUAUUAAAGCACGCACAAGAUAGAUUGAUGUCCAUCGGGAUGAAUCUUUGCCCAUUGCUUUGAGAUAAGGCCAUCUUCAACACGGAAGCUAAAAACGGACAGUCAUCCGGGAGCUAAAACUUCCUCGAUAUUUCUUCCUGAAGGUAAUCGGAUUAAAUUCAUUGUAUUUAUGACAUAUUAAUUUAAACAAAACCAUCUAGAAACAAAAGCUUCUAGAAGUUUUAGCCUAGUCUAAAUCUUUGCUGAUGCAUGUCCUCCAAGUCCUUGUUAUGCCCUGCCAUGUACAUGACCUACGUCCGUGAGCCCUCACUAGUGGAAAACCGGUCUUUGACCGGACCCUUUAGUCCCGGCCUGCCUCUGGACCGGGACUAAAGGCCCGGCCACGUCGCCCCAAUUCCCAAUGCCUCCCUCGAGGCUUUAGUCCCGGCCCGUAAGGAACCUUUAGUCCCGGUUCGUGUUCCAAACCGGGACUAAAGGGCUACGCGGUGUGCAGCCCGCAUGUGCGUCACCUUUAGUCCCGGUUUGUGUCUCAAACUGGGACUAAAGUCCUCUGCCUAUAUAUAGCACAGCCCCCCUCUCCCCUCUUCGUUGCAUUUUUCUUGGAUGGAGGAUUGUGGGUGGGUGCUAGCUCUCCACUUUUUUUUAUGCACUAGAGGUGUUUGUUGAAAUGUGUGUUAGAGCGAUGCUGCUUCAGUUCACCAAACACAACUACGAUAUGAGAUGCCUGAGCCACGCUUAAACCUCUUCCUCUUUAUUUCUACUUAUUCUAAAAGGUUAGCAACUAUAUUUCCUCGUUUAGACCGUGCGAUACUAAUUUUAAGGAUCGUGAUUGUAUUUGAUAUACUGUCGUAUAACACAGAUGAGCCAUCCAUGGAUGUACGGUGAUCGACGCACAGCCGCUUACAGAGAAGGCGUGCAUUCUUUUCGAGAUGCAGCCGAUGCGAACAAGCAUGGUGGUGGCUAUAUGUUUUGUCCAUGUGUUGAAUGUCGGAAUGAGAAGGAUUACACUUCCUCAAGAGUCAUUCAAAGCCACCUGCUUCGGUCCGGUUUUAUGUCGGGCUAUAAUGUUUAGACCAAGCACGGAGAAAGAGGGGUUAUGAUGGAAGACGACGAUGAAGAAGAAGAGAACGAUGAUGACAACUACCGAUCUAUGUUCCCUGAGUAUGCUGAUACCGCAAUGGAAGACAAUGAAGAAGAAGAUCAGCAUAAAGAACGGGAACCAGAUGAGCCCGCUGAUGAUCUUGGCCGGGUCAUUUCUGAUGCACGGCGAGGUUGCGACACAGAAAAGGAGAGGUUGCAGUUCGAGCAGAUGUUACAGGACCACAACAAAUUGUUGUAACCAACUUGUGAAGAUGGCUAGAAGAAGCUGGGUAGCACACUGGAAUUGCUGAAGUGGAAGGCAGAGACCGAUGUGACUGACUCGUCAUUCGAGAAGUUGCUGGUACUGAUGAAGAAGAUGCUUCCAAGAAAGAACGAAUUUCCCGCCAGCACGUACGAAGCAAAGAAGCUUAUCUGCCCUCUAGGAUUAGACGUGCAGAAGAUACAUGCAUGCCCUAAUGACUGCAUCCUCUACCGCGGUGAGAAGUACGAGAAUAUGGAUAAAUGCCCGGUAUGCACUGCAUUGCGGUAUAAGAUCAGAAAAGAUGACCCUGCAGAUAUCGAGGGCGAGCCACCCAGGAAGAGGGUUCCUGCCAAGGUGAUGUGGUAUGCUCCUAUAAUACCAUGGUUGAAACGUCUGUUUAGAAAUAAAGAUCAUGCGAAGUUGUUGCGAUGGCACAUGGAAGAUCGUAUGAAAGACGAUAAGUUGAGGCACACCGCUGAUGGCCGGCAGUGGAGAAAAAUCGAGAGAGAGUUCCCGAGAUUUGCAGCUGACGCAAGGAAUUUAUGGUUAGGUGUGAGUACAGAUGGCAUGAAUCCUUUUGGGGAGCAGAGUUGCAGUCACAACACCUGGCCCGUUACUCUAUGCAUCUACAACCUUCCUCAUUGGUUGUGCAUGAAGCGGAAGUUCAUUAUGAUGCCAGUGCUUAUACAAGGUCCAAAGCAAACCGACAACGAUAUUGAUGUGUAACUAAGACCAUUAGUUGAUGAACUUUUACAGCUGUGGGCCGAACGAGGUGUACGUGUGUGGGACGAGCACAAACAAGAGGACUUUGACCUUCGAGCGUUGCUUUUCGUAACCAUCAAUGAUUGGCCUGCUCUUAGUAACAUUUCAGGACAGUCAAACAAGGGAUACAAUGCAUGCACACACUGUUUGGAUCAGACAGAAAGUAUAUAUCUUGACAAAUGUAGGAAGAAUGUGUAUCCGUACAAUCGUCGUUUUCUUCCACCCAAGCAUCCCUUAAAGAAAAAAGGCAAGCAUUUCAAUGGCAAGGCAGAACCCCGGGGGAAGCCUGUCAUCCGUAUUGGUGCUGAAGUAUUUGAUAUGGUCAAAGAUUUAAAAGUAAUCUUUGGAAAGGGUCCUGGCAGCCAACCUGUUCCUAACGGCCCUGAUAAGCGCGUACCCAUGUGGAAGAAGAAAUCUAUAUUUUGGGAGCUACCCUACUGGGAAGUCCAUGAGGUCCGCUCGGCAAUCGACGUGAUGCACCUGACGAAGAAUCUCUGCGUGAAUAUUCUAGGCUUCCUGGGCUUGUAUGGGAAGUCAAAAGAUACACCGGAAGCACGGGAGGACCAGGAACGUCAUAAAGGAAGAGAUGGCAUGCAUCCAGGGUAGUUUCAAGGGUGUGCCAGCUACGCUCUUACUAAGGAAGAGAAGGAAAUCUUCUUUGAAGUCCUUUUCAGUAUCAAAGUCCCGACUGGCUUCUCGUCGAAUAUAAAGGGAAUCGUAAAUAUGAAAGACAAAAAAUUCCAAAACCUAAAGUCUCAUGACUGCCAUGUGCUUAUGACGCAAUUGCUUCCGGUUGCAUUGAGGGGAAUUCUACCGGAAAAUGUUCGCCUGGCAAUUGUGAAGGUAUGUGCAUUCCUCAAUGCAAUUUCUCAGAAGGUAAUCGAUCGAGAAAGUCUAUCAGGGUUACAGAUUGAUGUGGUCCAAUGUCUGGUCAGCUUUGAGUUGUUGUUCCCGCCAUCCUUCUUCAAUAUAAUGACACACCUCCUAGUUCACCUAGUAGAAGAGAUUAGAAUUCUCGGUCCUGUGUUUCUAAACAAUAUGUUCCCCUUCGAGAGGUUCAUGAGAGUCUUAAAUAAAUAUGUCCUAGCCAAUGAUGUCGCUCAGGUUUUCUAUGUGAAGGACAUGUCUACAAAAACAAGAAAAAGAAAUCAGCAAAAGAAGAUACCGUCCGAUGAGCCAAAACACCACAUAGUUCUUUCAGGGAAAAGAAACAUCGUGGGAGUAGAUGACAAGACAGACAUGUCAGAAGAUUAUAAUAAGUUUCAUGAAAUUCCGCCCUUCAAAGUGAAAACUGACCCAAGCAUCCUACUAAAUGAUGAAGAUUCUCCAUGGCUACGACCCAGAAGAAAACAGAAAUAAUAGAUAGGAAUAUUGGUGCAAUAAUGUAAUAAUGUAUUAAACCUUUUAUGUAAUGCAUGUAUGGAAUGUACUAAAUUUCAAACACUUUUCAUUUUCAUAGUAUCCAUGUAAGAGAUGAGUUCUUGUUCGAAACCCUGAUACUUCGAGACAGAUUGUCCGUUUUGUACACGAAGUGCAUCCAGUUUUUGUCGUAGCCCUCUCAACUUUUUAACACAUGCUAUGUGGGUGAAAUGAUGAUAGCAUGCCAACUUUCAACAUUUUCAGAGUUCAUUUGUAGUGCUUUUCAAUUUCAGGGUCAACUAGCUCAAAAAAAAUAAGUAAAUGCACGAAAUAUACCAAAUGAAGUCAGAAAUUGUUGAAAUUUUGUGAUGUGCCUUUGAAUGGUGCAUUUUGAACACACAAAAAGUAUGGACUUCAAAUAAGUUCAAAAAAAUGAAAUCCCUUUGUAAGAGAUGAGUUCUCGUUCGAAACCCUGAUACUUCGAGAGAGAUUGUCCAUUUUGUACACGACGUGCAUCCAGUUUUUGUCGUAGCUCUCNAUGCUAUGUGGGUGAAAUGAUGAUAGCAUGCCAACUUUCAACAUUUUCAGAGUUCAUUUGUAAUGCUUUUCAAUUUCAGGGUCAACUAGCUCAAAAAAAAAAAAGUAAAUGCACGAAAUAUACCAAAUGAAGUCAGAAAUUGUUGAAAUUUUCUGAUGUGCCUUUGAAUGAUGCAUUUUGAACACACAAAAAGUAUGGAGUUCAAAUAAGUUUAAAAAAAUGAAAUCCCUUUGUAAGAGUUGAGUUCUCGUUCAAAACCCUGAUACUUCGAGAGAGAUUGUCCGUUUUGUAGAUGGAGUGCAUCCAGUUUUUGUCGUAGCCCUCUCAACUUUUUAACACAUGCUAUGUGGGUGAAAUGAUGAUAGCAUGCCAACUUUCAACAUUUUCAGAGUUCAUUUGUAGUGCUUUUCAAUUUCAGGGUCAACUAGCUACAAAAAAAAGUAAAUCCACGAAAUAUACCAAAUGAAGUCAAAAAGUAUGGAGUUCAAAAAACCAUAUUAUGAAAUUAAAUAUUAUCAUUGGCGAUUCAUCUCUAUUAUGAAAUUCAAUAUAUCAAAAAACCAUUGCAGAACAUAUGACCAAAUUAAUACAAGUUCAUCAUCACAUUAAAGCCAAAGAACAGUAGUGAUCAAAUGUUAUUAUUGCAAAAAAUAAAUAUGUAAAGUUCUCUCAUAAAACAACAUGCAACUAUGUAAAACAUUUAAAUGCAACAACAAACGCGAUCAAAAUCGCAACUAAGGUAACAAUUGACCCAACAGCAUAAUGAUACCAAGCCUCUUUAUCAAUGGCAUAUUUUCUAAUAUUCCUAAUCUUCAAGCGCAUUGCAUCCAUCUUCAACCGCAUCGCAUCGAUCUUCAUCUUGCGAUCAUCGAUGACAUCGGCGACACACAACUCCAGUUCCAUAUUCUUAUCCUCAAUUAUUUUCAAUUUUUUCUUCAAGUAUUUUUUUUCUUUUUCAAUCAAAUUUAACUUCUCGACAAGAAUUUUUAUGUGGGUUGGAAUUUCCGGUUCACAUACCUCCUAGAUUAAAAAAACAUAUGUCACAUUGGUCGUCAUAAUUGUCAUAAACACUAAAUAAAACAAAUAGUUAUAAAAGAUAAUAUAUACCACAUCCGAAUCAUAGACAGGACAAGGGCCGACGGAGGCGGAUACCAAAACCAUCCCACUAUAUAAUAACAAAAAAUAAUGAAAGUGAGUAAUUUAUACAAGUAUGUAUCUAAAUCAUACAAGUAAGAUUUUUUUUCUUUUAAAAAUAAGAUAAGAACAAGAGGCUCACCAGGGUGGUGCUCGUGACGAGAUCGGCACGGGGCGAUCGACAAUGAUGAGGACGGGCACGGGACGACACCCUACGCAUGUGCAGACUCUAAGAAGUUAAUUUAAGCAUUUGAAAUGAGCUACACUAGCAGUGACAAAUGAAAGGAUGAAGUAGCUAACCUUUUAAAACACUUGUGCAGUUGGUGCACGGCCAAACCUAGACAAAUAUUAAGGAAAAUGGAGUUUGGAGGUUGAGCUUGGAGAGGAGAAAGCUUAAGUAGAGUGGCUCGGGCAUUUCAUCGAACACGUCAUGUGCAUGAACUAGAGUGGCAAGAGCAUGGCAUGGUCACACUUCAACAAACCAAAAAACAGGGGAUAUGGUGGGCAGGGGCGAGGGUUUAUAUAGGCAACACUUUACUCCCGGUUCUUGCCACGCCCCGGGACUAAAGGCCCCUGCUUCCUGCCUUCUGGUCUGCCGAAAAAGGGCCUUUAGUCCCGGGUCGUGGCUCCACCCGGGACUAAAGGGUGUCUUUAGUCCCGGUUCAAGCCACGCCCCGGGACUAAAGCCCCCUGCUUCCCGCCUUUUGGUCUGCCGAAAAAGGGCCUUUAGUCCCGGGUCGUGGCUCCACCCGGGACUAAAGGGUUCUUUAGUCCCGGAUCGAGCCCCGAACCGGGACUAAUGAUCCACCUGUAUAAGCGGGAGUUAGAAAAUUUCGAACCCAAAUCAUCCAUUUCUCUUCUUCUUCCUCUCGUUCUCCUGCCCGGCGCGCACAGCGACGAACUCGACGACGCCGUCAGGCUGUCCGCCGUCCUGCUCGCCGCCGUCUGCCGUCCUCCUCGCCGUCGCUGUCGUCCUGCUCGCCGCCGCCGUCCUCCUCGCCGCGCGCCGCCGUCCUCCUCGCGUGCCGCCGUCCUCCUCGCCGCGCGCCGUCGACACCUCCGGUAAGCCCCACACCCCCUCCUCCCCAACACUCCGGCCAGCACAAGCAAAGAAGAAACAGGAGAAGAAAAGAAGAAAAAGGAGAAGAAAGGAGGAAAAAGGAGAAGAAAGGAAGAAAAGCGAAGGAGAAGAAAAAAAGAAAAAGGAGAAGAAAAGAAGAAAAAGGAGAAGCAAGGAAGAAAAAGGAGAAGAAAGGAAGGAAAAGGAGAAGAAAGGAAGAAAAAGGGAAGAAAAGAAGAAAAAGAUUUUUUUUUGUCAUUUAAUUCCUAUUGUUAUUAGGUUUGUGCUAGAUUAUUAGGGUUAGUAAUAUGUAUAAUUAGGAAAAAGGAAAAUAAGAAGAGGAGGAGAAGAAAAGAAGAAAAAGGAGAAUAAGAAGAGGAGGAGAGGAGAAGAAGAGGAAAAAUAGAAGAAGAGGAGAGGAGAAGUAGUAGAAGAAGAGGAGAAGUAGAAGUAGAAGAAGAAGUCGAAGAAGAGGAGAAAUAGAAGAAGAGGAGAAAUUAGUUUAGGGUUACAAGAAGAAGAAAUAUUUUUUUAUCAUUUAAUUUUGCUAUUGUAUAGUGUAUAUGCUUAAGUGUUAACAGUGUUUCUUAGAUUAUUGCUUAAUUUUGCUAUUGUAUAUGCUUAAGUGUUAAUAGUUUAAUUUUGCUAUUGUAUAUGCUUAAGUGUUAAUAGUUUAUUUUUAGCAAGAAAAUUAAUAGAACUAGUUUAAGUUUGCUACUGUAUAUGCUUAAGUGUCCGGGACUGGGCUCCGCCCGGCUGGUAUUUUAGAGUUUAGGUUCUAGCCAAGACGCGGGACUAAAGGUCAUUCUAUAUAAAACGACACUUCAAAGUUUCCAACCCCUCUUAUAUAUUUGUUAGUUUAUUAGUUAAUCAAAUGUCCGUUUUUUGCAGAACUAUGGAUCCACAUAUCAGGAACCUCGAAGAGGAAGAACUUCUCGAAGAUAUAAUCAAAGACGGCCCCGACGUUGAACCAGCUGAAUCUCCGUCGUCAUAUCUAAACGGCUCCGGAUACAAAGCGGGAGCGUGCCAGCAAGAAUGCUCCGCCGACGAUUCCUAAGCCACGGAGCACCCCAAAGCGCAAACGGUCGCCCCUCCCAAAGGUACGUCAUGCUAAUCUUCCUAUCAGACCUUAUGAUCGUACCCUCGAGGAAAACGGCAGGAUAGCAAAGGAACAUCAUGAUGCGCAGAUGAAAAAGAAGGAACCCGAGCCCCGCCCGGAAUACACCGAGAAGCAAAUAGCAUUUGCAAAAUACUUCACGACCCUUCCAUCACAGUAUGACUUACACCAUAAGCCUGAUGACUAUACACGCACAUUGCAGAAGGAAGUGAAAAAGAGCAGAUCACGUGCAAGCCCUCCACAUGACGUCGGCCAGCACAACACGAGUCCAUCUCGAUCACCGCCGCCGGACUUGGGUCGUCCGUCUCCGCCGCCGCCCGCUCCGGAUACUAAGCGGGAGGGUAACACCAAGAACGCUCCGUCGACGAUUCCUAAGCCACGGAGCACCCCAAAGCGCAAACGGUCUCCCCUCCCAAAGGUACGUCAUGCUAAUCUUCCUAUGAGACCUUAUGAUCGUACCCCCGAGGAAAACGCCAGGAUAGCAAAGGAACAUCAUGAUGCGCAGAUGAAAAAGAAGGAACCCGAGCCCCGCCCGGAAUACACCGAGAAGCAAAUAGCAUUUGCAAAAUACUUCACGACCCUUCCAUCACAGUAUGACUUACACCAUAAGCCUGAUGACUAUACACGCACAUUGCAGAAGGAAGUGAAAAAGAGCAGAUCACGUGCAAGUGCAAGUGAGAGCAAAUCAAGUUCAACUACAAGCAAGAAAAAAUCAGACGUUCCUCAGCUUGGACAACAGGCAAAACAGUCGAUCCCACCGCUCAAGGUGUUAACCGAGAAUGUUCCCCCUCCGGUGCAGGGGCUAGCUUUUGAAAGAGCAAAGGAGUUGGCAGCUGAAUGUGGUGUCUCGGUUGAAGAUUUGCUGGCUUCCCAAGAUGACAGGAUACCCAAGGCUGUGGUAGCCCCUAAGCCACAGUUUUUCAUGGGUGAGCCUUUAGUCAGCAAAGAUGAUCUCCCAAAAAAUAUGCGUUACUUGCAUCAAUGGUACUUAAGUGAAUCAAAGAAUGGGAGAACGAUGAUCGUGCUGAGUGUCCCACAGGAGUAUUACGGCCGCCCCGAACAAAUCCAUAUCGACUUUGAUGAACUCUUUCAGAUGUACAAUGGCGACGCCCUCGACAAAUCACUUAUGAGUUGCUAUUGUCUGUAAAUUUUUCAAUUCGUUGUCUACAUAUAACUUGUUUAGUUAUUUCAAUUCAUUGUCUAUAUAUAACUUGUACUCUAUUAUGCAGAAUAAAGAUUCUGGAUUGUAAAAGUAAGAGCAUCCUAAAUAUUGGGUUUAUUGACCCAGAUAAAAUACAUAUAGCGACGCUAACUGAUUAUCCCAAGGAGACGGAGGAAAACCUUGUUUCUAACAGAUCAAAAUUUCUGUGACCACAUACUGUUUCCAUACAACUUCAGGUGAGGGUCUUUACUCUGUUGUGUCCAUUCACUUAUAAGUGUAACUGAUAAGUUACUGACACACAUAUAUAUAUACAUGUGCAGCUUCCAUUGGAUUCUGUUGGACAUUCAAAUUGAUAAGGGAAGAGUUGAUGCCUUCGACCCAUUAUCGAGACCCUUGGAACAGUUCCAAAGCGUGCAUGACAUGCUCCAAGGGUAAUUUCAAUCAUUCUUGCGCUCUAUCGGUCUCUUUCGAUGAUUUUCUGAUAUAUCAAUUAAUGAAAAACUUAGCAAAUCAUUAUCCUUGUCGGGCAGGGUUUGGAAGCGGUUCAAGUGCGUGACUCCCGGUAUCGAGCAUGAGAAGCUGACCUUUAGAGCGGCUCAGGUAAGUAGUAGUAUGAUAUACUUCUAUUUUCAAUACAUUUAUGAUGCUAGAUUAUUAUUUUGAUUAUAUAUAUUCUAUCCUCGUAAAGUGCGACCAGCAGCCACGGGGAACGCAUCUAUGCGGAUACUAUGUUUGCGAGACCAUUCGCACGUUUACCUCUGAGCACAAGGAUCACAGAUUCGACGUAAGCAAUGAAUAUUCAUCUCCACUUUUAUAUAGCACACGGCCAUGACGACGAAGGUCCUACCAGAGCAACGCCCGAUUGCUGUUGCAGAGGAGCUUGCGACCUUUCUGAGGACGGAAGCUAUAGAUGACAAAGGACGAUUUAGUGUAGCUAGGGGCCAUUACUGAUGUUCGUCCAUGUAAUCGAAUAGACGGGCUCUAGUCCCGAUAAUUCAGAUCUCCAUAUAAUUGUAUAUAUAUGCUCGCUUGUAAGAUAAGUUAACCUUAUAUAUAUAUGCAUAAUUAUUUCUAUUUAAAUUAUAUGAAAACUAAUUCCCGAACACCAAACGAGGCAUCACGUUAAUCUCCCGAACACCUAAACCCUAAAACCCUAAAACCCAAAAAUAAUUUCAUUAAAAAAACCCAAAAAUAAGCAAAAUCGGAAACUCUUUAGUCCCGGCCCGUGUAACGAACCGGGACUAAAGGUCCUACCCCUGGGGCGCUACGAGGCGCCCACGUGGAGCACCUUUAGACCCGGCUUGUAACAGGACCGGUACUAAAGGUUAGGCUUGUAACAGAGCACAAAUUUGGUGAACCGGGACUAAAGCCCCUUCUGUGUCGUAGCGGCGCGAACAAGCCCCGUCUGCGUCCAACGGUACGACGUGAGUAUUGCAUGCGUCCGCUGCUCCUUGACGAAGUUUAGGUUCUCAGCGGUCAUGGCCCACACGUUCGUGAUGUCACCUUAUAUCUGGCACUGAACAGCAUCGUCGGAAGUCUGUGAUACCAGUUACAUAGCAACCUGGUGAUACGAAGCAGUGUACGGCACAGCUACCACCACUAUCUGUCAGGGAAUUUGCUGCUUGGUGAGUUCAGAUCAGACGGCAGAAAAAAAGUAUGUCAUGCUCAAGGUCGGCAACAAAUCAACAAUCUCCCUCGGCAAUGUCAUGGUAUUCAGCCUCCACGCUAGAGCGCGAGACCGUCGCAUGACGUUUAGAGGACCAGGAGAUGAAUGUCAUUCCGAAGUAGAUUGCAGUAUGUUGGGCAGUCGGCAUCGGUUUAGGAGCAAAGAUCCAGAUUCCAGUGUGACGGAGGCGUCGGUUUAUUUUCCUCAGUUUGAGAACCAAGGUAUCAAUCUAGUGAAGCAGUAUCUCAAUAUCCUGCACAAACACGAAAACUUGCUCCCAACGCUAUGAAGGGGUUGUCAAUCCUUUAUAGAUUGUUUGCCAAGUGAGAACUGAAAGCAACAAAGUAACAAAGCAAAGUAAGAGCGGAGAUGUAAACAAUUGAUGUGAAUAGACCCGGGGGCCGUAGUGUUUACUAGUGGCUUCUCUCAUGAAAGCAAGUAGCCGGUGGGUGAACAAAUUACUGUCGAGCAAUUGAUAGAACUGCGCAAAGUCGUGACGAUAUCUAUGCAAUGAUUAUUUCUAUAGGCAUCACGUCCAAAACAAGUAGACCGAUACUGUCUGCAUCUACUACUAUUACUCCACACGUCGACCGCUAUCCAGUAUGCAUCUAGUGUAUUAACUCCAUAAGAACAGAGUAACGCCUUAAGCAAGAUGAUGAUGUAGAGGGAUAAUCUCAAACCAAUGAUAAAAACCUCAUCUUUUUUAGCCUUGAUGUCAACUACUUGACUGUGUGCCUUGCUUWCCCCUACUGUCGACUGGGAAUGGUCACCACAUGGCAGAACCCAAAACCAAGCACUUCUCCCAUUGCAAGAAUCAUAGAUCUUGUUGGCCAAACAAAACCCAAGACUCGGAGAGACUUACAAGGAUAUCAAAUCAUGCAUAUAAGAAAUCAACAAAGACUCAAAUAUAAAUCAUAGAUAAUCUGAUCACAAAUCCAUAAUUCAUCAGAUCUCGACAAACACACCGCCAAAGAAGAUUACAUCGGUUAGAUCUCCAUGAAGAUCAUGGAGAACUUUGUAUUGAAGAUCCAAGAGAGAGAAGAAGCCAUCUAGCUACUAACUACGGACCCAUAGGUCUGAAGUGAACUACUCACGAGUCAUUGGAGGGGCGAUGAUGAUGAUGAAUAAGCCCUCCAACUCCAAAGUCCCCUCCGGCAGGGUGCUGGGAAGGGUCUCCAGAUGAGAUCUCGUGGAAACGGAAGCUUGCGGCGGCCGAAAAGUAUUUUUGAGACUCCCCUGAUUUUUUGCGGAAUAUUUGGGAAUUUAUAGGACAAAGAUCUAGGUCAAGGGGCGGCCAGGGAGGCCACAAGCCUGCCCACCGCCGCCUCCCCCUGGUGGCGGAGUGGGGGCUUGUGGGCUCCCUGGAGCCCAUCUGGCUUGGCCCAAAGCCCCCCUGAUCUUCUUCCGUCCGGGAAAAAAAAUCAUUUCGGGGUUUUUCUUCCGUUUGGACUCCGUUCCAAAAUCAGAUCUGAAAAGAGUCAAAAACACGAAAAAACAGGAACUGGCACUUGGCACUGAGUUAAUAAGUUAGUCCCAAAAAAGAUAUAAAAGGUACAUAAAACAACACUAGUAGAAAACAGGGCUACCGUUCGGCCUUGGCCAGCCCAUUAGUCCCGGUUCUUCAAGAACCCGGACCAAUGGGGGGUAUUAGACCCGGUUCGCGAGCCCAGGGGGCUGGCCGGGGCCUCGUGGGCAUUGGUCCCGGUUCAUGUGGAACUAUUUGUCCCGGUUCGAGCCACGAACCGGGACCAAUGGUCCUCGCUGCGGGCCCACAACCAUUGGUCCCGGUUCGUGGCUUGAACCGGGACAGAUAACUUGCCUACAUAUACCCACCGCCGCGGCAGAGCACUCCACAGUGCUCUGUUUUUGUCAAGCCGGCAAGGGGAGGGCAUUUGGGUGCUCUAGUUCACCUCCUAUGCACAUGAGGUGUUCGAUGAAAUGCCCGAGCCACACUAGUUAAGCUUUCUCCUCUCGAAACUCGACCUCCGAGCUCCAUUUCCAAUGAGAUCUGUCUAGAUUUUGCGGUCCGUCACGCCCCGUCUUCACCGCCGUCGAUCGCCCGUGCCGAUCUCGUCGCCGGCACCACCGUGGUGAGCCUCUUGUUCUUAUCUUCUUUCUGAAAGAAAAAAAUUCUGACUUCAGAUAGAUACUUGUCUAAUUUUCUUACUUUUAUUAUUCCUUGUUAUUAUAUAGUGCGAUGGUUUUGGUAUCCGCCCCCGUCGGCCCUCGUCCUGUCUAUGAUUCAGAUGUGGUAUAUAUUAUCUUUUCAUAGCUAUUUGGUUCAUUUAUUGUUUAUGACAAUUAUGCCGACCAAUGUGACAUGGAUUUUAUUUAUCUAGGAGGUUGUUGAACCAGAAAUUCCAACCGACCCUAUUGUCGAGAGGUUAGAUUUAGUUGAAGAAGAAAACAAUUACUUGAAGGAAAAAAUAAGAAAAAUUGAGGAGGAGAAGAUGAUAUUGGAGUUGCAUGUUGCGGAUGUCGUCGAUGAUUUUGACGCUCAGAGUUAAAGAGGACAUGACCUCGUUGGAAUUGAUCUGUUGAAUGUUCCAUUUGAGGAGUUCUUCGAAUUUUUUAAUCACUUGCUACUGCCUGUAAGUAGUACUACUUCUGUCAUUAAGUCUUUAUAUAUAGGUCAGCUCUUUCAUUGCAUGUAUCUUUAAUUAUUCUCACUAUAUUAUGCAGAUUGAAGAUCGCCGGAUUGAAGAAAAGACAAAUCGGUGAUAUUGGGUUCAUUAACACAAAUCUCAUAGAUGCAUAUAUGGUUAAAUUUCAGGCCAAAGAUACCGAGGCCAAGGUGCUACAAUCGUUUAUAUUAAAUCAAAACAAAGCUAUAAUACUCUUCCCUUACAACUUCGAGUGAGUGUUACUGUCUUGUGCAUAUUCGGUUUUCCUUAUUAGUCGAGGUUAUAGUAAUGUAAUUGAUGAGUUAUGCAUGCAUGCGCAUGUUCCACUAUAUUCUCCUAGAGAUUGAGCUUGAGCAGGGACUACUAAUCGUCUUAGACUCGAGACGAAAAGAUCCCAAGAAUUACGCGGACAUGACUGAAAUUCUAGAGAAGUAAGUUAAAUCUAUCAUUAUCGCACCAUAUCGGCAACUUCAAUUUGUUCAUUGCCUGAUAUCAAGUAAUUGUUUUCUUUGUCUGGCAGGGUUUGGAGUAAAUUCACCUCAAAAACUCUGGGACUGCCAAAGAAGCUGCAUUUUAGACACCCGAAAGUAAGUACUAUAGUAGCAUAUAUGUUCCACGCGUCUUCUAUUGAUUCAAGCGCUAGUUUCAUCAAUACCAUUUAGUAUGCUUGCUAAUUAUCAGUUUGAUUGACCUCUAUUUUUUGUAAAGUGGUUGUGGCAGGAAGAAUGUACUAAUUACUGUGGAUACUAAAUUUGCGAGUCCAUCCGCCACACGACCUGUGAGCGGGGCUACUCCGAGAAACAAUAUGAAGUGCAUAAAUAAUUAUAUUCACAAUUUUAUUUUAUUACCAUCAUUUGUGUUCAGUUUCAUUUAUUCAUAUAUAUAUGUAUUGACCCCCUUCUUCAAAUUAGAUAUUUCGGAUGCGAGAUGAACUCCUAGCACCAGAUCGUAUGCGAGGAAUUCAAGAGGAAUUGGCGGCAUUCUUUCUUGACCACGUGAUCGCUAAAGACGGAGAAUACUAUGUGGACCCUGCAGGGUUCAAUUUUGAUAUGGACAAGAGUCACAUGAUGUUCACUAGUGAUGUCUCUCUCCCAAAAGACAAUAAACAACUAUGCUAGGGUAAACAAAUCACAGUUGGGAAAUUGACAGAAUUAUCAUCGCACCGCAAUGCUAAUUAUGCUCCUUGAUAGUUAGAGUCAGUAGUAAUGGGCAAUACGCCAAGACAAGUAGACCGUUUAUUCAAAAAUAUCUACUUACUAAUCAUCCACCUUGAGAUAUCUAUCCAGAACAUCUCUCCGGUAUUAAGUUGCGAGCCCCACCCAAAAUGUAAAUUCAAAGCAACGGACAACUCUAUUAACGAACUAUGCGUAAGGUAAACUAUCCUUGCAACCUUGGUCACAAGCACCGUUGUUUUCUCCUUGGUGGCAACAACCACAUCCCUUAGUCUCAUGUUUCUGUCACUCAAGCUAUACAUCGAGGGGCCCGAACCUACAAUCAUGCAUAACGCUCCCUCUUGGAGUUACGAUCUACUACUUGGCCAAAAUAAUAAAAAGCAACAGAGAACAUGCAUGAAUCACUAAGGAACAUAAAAUAAAAGGAUAAUGAAAUAUAAAACUCAUAACAAUCUGAACAUAAUCUCAUAAUCCAUCGGAUCCCAACAAACCGAGCAUAGCAAUAGCAAGAGAAUUACAUAGAUGCCUUGAUCAUGUAGGGCAGCUCACAAGGACUAACCAUUGAAGCACAAGAUUGGAGAGAAGACAUCACAUAGCUACUGGUCAUGGACUCAUGGUCCAAGGGAAACUACUCACGGUACUUCCGGGAGGCGUCCAUGGUGGUGGAGAAGCUCACGGAGGUCAAUCCUCCCUCCGGCAGGGUGUCGGGAAGAGGUCUUCUGACGCUCCCAAUAUCAAAAGCGCUGCGGCGGCGGAAGGAUGGAGAAAUUCGUGAUUUCAGAAAGUCUGCGAGGGUUUCCUCACGGAACACUAAAUAUAGGCCNNNNNNNNNNNNNNNNNNNNNNNNNNNNNNNNNNNNNNNNNNNNNNNNNNNNNNNNNNNNNNNNNNNNNNNNNNNNNNNNNNNNNNNNNNNNNNNNNNNNCGUCACGGCGGCCUCCAAGAAGAUGCGGGGCCUUUACCAAUACAGCGGCGCAGCGUGUGGUAAUCUUUGUCGGAGAAUGACGUUAUAAUCUCCUCCUUGCCGGAGGAGCCGGGCACCGUGGGUGUGGAAGGGCCCGGAGAGCGAGGGCGACGUUGCCAAGAACCUCUCGACAAAUAACUUCCACUGUCUCCGCCUACCGGCGCGGAAUACCAUGGCAGUGCCGAGGGAGAUUGUUGAUUUCUUGUCGACCUUAAGGAGGACAAUCUCUGCUCCACCAUCUGAUCUGAACUCAACAAACCGUAAACCAAGCAACAAAUUAAUCCCAUUACAGAUAGCGGUGGUAGCUGAGAAGCUAAACUUUGUCGAGAAGCAACAAGUCAAUGGACAAAGAUUCCUUCCAAUGGACAUCAAUCUAUCUUGUGUGUGCUUUAAUAAUGUGCCAUACUGCACGACUUGGACGCGAGGAAGUAGUCGUGUGGCAAGCAACUUGUUUGCCGUAUGACAUUUCCGUUGGGAAGUGGGUUUAUCUCAACACAACUAGCAAGGAUUCCUCGCGAUGAGCAUCGAUCUGUCUCGAGUGUGCUAUACUACUAUAGAGUACUAUACUAUACUAACCCCAGGCUAGCCUUGUGUGAUCAUGCACAAUAUAAUCAUAGAGGAUGAACGUCUGAAACAUCUCCAUGAUCAAGGGUUUGAUUUUCAGGGUGACAAUGUUGGUGCCUCAGCAUGACGGAGAAGCGGCAUAGUUUGCACAGUUCAUCCAAUUUCAUCAUAAAAUAAGCAAGGAAAUAGUCUCCUCGCCAGCAACUUGUUUGCUUUAUGACAAUGCCGUUGGUGGGCAUUAUUUUUAUUGGGGAGUGAAUUUAUGUCGACACAAUGAGCAAGGAUUCCUCCCGAUGAGCAUCUAUCUAUCUCGAGUGUUACAUACUUACUGUAGAGUACUAUACUUUACUAACCCCAGGCUAGCUGCCACGGACAAAGGAUUCCUCACGGUGUGCUAUAGUUCUAUUCGCGACAUUCUUUACAUGUUUUUGCACCGAUUUGUCAUUAUGCAUCCAUUUCUACCAUGUUCAUGCAUAUCUAAAUAAGUUAACUUGAGGUUUUGUCAAGAAUGCUAAUAACUUAAUAAGUGCAUGGAAAGAUGACUAGUGUAGCAAUGCCAUGUUUUCUUUCAUGCCACACACAUGCAUCAUAUUAUUUGAAGCAUUGUUACUUGAUGUGUGUCUAUUGGAUGUAUAUUUAUUUUGGGUAGAGACGGGUGCGGAGAAUGAAUGUGAGGACUCCGUUGAGUACGUUCAGGAAGAGCAAUAGCAGUUCCAGUCAGAAGAUCCAAUAGGCAAGAUGAUUGUGACCUUGAUAUCAUUUCUAGUUUUGUUAUGCCUAGAUGAAUUGUUUACAUCGGUACUUAUCGCUGCCACCAUCUAAAUAUUAAGCCUCCGAACAUUGCCAUGAAACCCUCUAACCAUGCCCACGGUUAUGUGGCAACAUGGAAACUUUGUUUAACAUCUGGUUCUAGAUAACUUGAAAUAAAUUAACUAAAAUAUGACAACUAUGUGCGUAACCGUGACUGUUUCUUUCGGAGCUCCUUCUCCGAUCGAGAACACUGUGGGGUUAUGACUAACAUAAAUAGAUGUUCAUGAUCACUUAGUGAUUAUUAUUAGUUCAUGACCGUCAUGCGUCGACCACUCAUUUUACUUUAUGUUCUCAUAAGUUAGCCACCAUAAAUGCUUAGUGCCGCUACAAACUCAAACACAUACCCCGUCCUCACCUAAUAACUUGGUUAGACUCACUAUCAUGGUCAUAAGAUUGUCGAGUCCUCGUGGCUCACAGAUUACUACACAACCACAUGUCCAGGUGCAAGAGAUCCAUAUGCUUUUGAUGCUACUCGGUUGCAGUGGGAGAUCGACGAGGGAAGUGGGCAUAUGUACGUAACAUACCCCGACGACUAGAGGACCUUGGUCGUCUCUUGGGCCUGGCGAUACAUAAUCAUUGCUAUUUUUUUGUUUAUCUUGUCCGUAGCCGGACCAUGUCUUAUGGAUGCUUGAAUAAAUUGUUGAGUGGAUUUGUAACUUAAUUUAUGGCGAAUGGCCAACUCAUAUACUCAUCCCUUCUUGUAUGUAAUGCAAUGAUUUAUGUACUUGCAAAAUGAUAACACUACAAGAAAUAAGCUCGUUUAUGACAAAAAAUAAUGACGGCGGUUUUUUUGAUCAUAGAUCUAUGACUAAAAUUUACAAAAAGGUCAUGAGUUGUCUUAGAGGGUCCAAACCCUAGGAAUUUUUGACCAUAUCUAUCAAGAAGUAUGCACUAGAGGCAAUAAUAAAUUAGUUAUUAUUAUAUUUCUUAGUUCAUGAUAAUCGUUUAUUAUCCAUGCUAUAAUUGUAUUGAUUGGAAACACAAUACUUGUGUGGAUACAUAGAUAAAACACUGUCCCUAGUAAGCCUCUAGUUGACUAGCUCGUUGAUCAAAGAUGGUUAAGGUUUCCUGGCCAUAGGCAAGUGUUGUCACUUGAUAACGGGAUCACAUCAUUAGGAGAAUCAUGUAAUGGACUAGACCCAAACUAAUAGACGUAGCAUGUUGAUCGUGUCAUUUUGUUGCUACUGUUUUCUGCGUGUCAAGUAUUUGUUCCUAUGACCAUGAGAUCAUAUAACUCACGGACACCGGAGAAAUGCUUUGUGUGUAUCAAACGUCGCAACGUAACUGGGUGACUAUAAAGAUGCUCUACAGGUAUCUCCGAAGGUGUUCGUUGAGUUAGUAUAUAUCGAGACUGGGAUUUGUCACUCUGUGUGACGGAGAGGUAUCUCGGGGCCCACUCGGUAAUACAACAUCACACACAAGCCUUGCAAGCAAUGUAACUUAAUGUAAGUUGCGGGAUCUUGUAUUACAGAACGAGUAAAGAGACUUGCCGGUAAACGAGAUUGAAAUAGGUAUGCGGAUACUAACGAUCGAAUCUCGGGCAAGUAACAUACCGAAGGACAAAGGGAAUGACAUACGGGAUUAUAUGAAUCCUUGGCACUGAGGUUCAAACGAUAAGAUCUUCGUAGAAUAUGUAGGAUCCAAUAUGGGCAUCCAGGUCCCGCUAUUGGAUAUUGACCGAGGAGUCUCUCGGGUCAUGUCUACAUAGUUCUCGAACCCGCAGGGUCUGCACACUUAAGGUUCGACGUUGUUUUAUGCGUAUUUGAGUUAUAUGGUUGGUUACCGAAUGUUGUUCGGAGUCCCGGAUGAGAUCACGGACGUCACGAGGGUUUCCGGAAUGGUCCGGAAACGAAGAUUGAUAUAUAGGAUGACCUCAUUUGAUUAUCGGAAGGUUUUCGGAGUUUCCGGGAAUGUACCGGGAAUGACGAAUGAGUUCCGGGAGUUCACCGGGGGGGCAACCCACCCCGGGGAAGCCCAUAGGCAUUGGGGGAGUAACACCAGCCCUUAGUGGGCUGGUGGGACAGCCCACAAGUGCCCAAUGCGCCAAGAGAAGAAAAUCAAGAGGAAAAAGAAAAAAAAAGGAAGGAAGUGGGAAGGGAGGGGGACUCCUCCCACCAAACCAUGUCCAACUCGGUUUGGGGGGGGAGUCCUCCCCCCCUUGGCUCGGCCGACUCCUUGGGGGUCCUUGGACCCCAAGGCAAGGCCUUGGUUUUGCUGGACUUGUUUUAUCUUGACGAUAUAUUUUGUGCAUCGGGAUUCCGCUGAUGCUUUGGGCUAGCUCAGAGUUGAGGUUUUCCACUAAGGAAUCCGAGGAGAUCACGAGUUUCAUGAUCGAGGCUUUCUAUGCAUCUUAUGGUAAUUUGUGAUGGAUUAGUUGCAACACCCCUGUAGGGUUUAAUCUUUCGGAAAACCAUGCCUGCGGUUAUGUGGCAACAUGGAAACUUUGUUUAACAUCCGGUUCUAGAUAACUUGAAAUAAAUUAACUAAAAUAUGACAACUAUGUGCGUAACCGUGACUGUUUCUUUCGGAGCUCCUUCUCCGAUCGAGAACGCUGUGGGGUUAUGACUAACGUAAGUAGGUGUUCAGGAUCACUUAGUGAUUAUUAUUAGUUCAUGACCGUCAUGCUUCGACCACUCAUUUUACUUUAUGUUCUCAUAAGUUAGCCACCAUAAAUGCUUAGUGCCGCUGCAAACUCAAACACAUGCCCCGUCCUCACCUAAUAACUUGGUUAGACUCGCUAUCAUGGUCAUAAGAUUGCCGAGUCCUCGUGGCUCACAGAUUACUACACAACCACAUGUCCAGGUUGCAACAGAUCCAUAUGCUUUUGAUGCUACUCGGUUGCAAUGGGAGAUCGACGAGGGAAGUGGGCAUAUGUACGUAACAUACCCCGACGACUAGAGGACCUUGGUCGUCUCUUGGGACUAGCGAGACAGAAUCAUUGCUAUUUUGUUGUUUAUCUUCUCCGUAGCCGGACCAUGUCUUAUGGAUGCUUGAAUAAAUUGUUGAGUGGAUUUGUAACUUAAUUUGUGGCGAAUGGCCAACUCAUACAUUCACCCCUUCUUGUAUGUAAUGCAAUGAUUUAUGUACUUGCAAAAUGAUAAGGUGCACCUAUUUCCCUAUUGAGGCCUCGCCCCCAAAUAUGGAAAGUAUCACAUCUUGGACGUUACAGACGGCUACAUGGGCGGACACGCGCUUGCUCAAGCCGGGGUGGUGCGGCAUGUGCGCGACGGAUCUGGCAACAUCGCGCUUCAAUCUGUGGCGGGGCGUGAAGGUGGCAGGUGUGGCCGGUGUUGGGGCCGCCGACGAUGUGCUGGCUACGCCCUGGGAUGCGUGUCGGUGGCGUGCUCGAGGAAGAUGGCUGCAGUUUCUUCAUUGAAGUGGUGCGGGCUGCCCUUGUCACGAUUAGGGUACAUGGCGUCUACCUCAUACUGCCCGGGGGACGACGGAUUUGGAAGGGUGAGCGUGGAAGGAGACCUGGUGGCUAUCGAGCGGCGGAUCGGGGUUGCGACGGUCCGGUGGGGCGCCUGGGAAAUGGGACGGCAGCCUUGAGGGUCUGCCUCGGUUGGAUCUGGAGAUGCGAGGUCCGCCCAUGGAGGUCUGAUGUCUCGGUGGUGCGUUGUGUCGCGGCUUCGGCGGCGGUGUAUGGGCAGGUGACCCUUACACGGGCAACUAGGUGUCGUCGGUUGGCCCCAUCCCUGGCCGCCUCGACGGUUUUGGGGGCUAAUACAAUGAGGAUCAGGCCCUCGUUGCCGGUGUCCUCCUUGUCACGUGGACCGGGGGUCCGGCCCUAUGCCAGUGUCACCCAUGCCAAGGUGUGGCCAUGGGCGGACCUCGUGGACUUGUAGUGUUGGGGAGACAGUUUGGAUGCCAGGGUGACGGGCUACACGGGUGGCUUCUCGGCAAGUCUCGGUGUUGCUGGUGUUGACGACAUUCUUUGGCCAUGAGAAUGGCAAUGGGUGUUGUGGUGCUGGAUCCGGGUGUAGGUCGUCCUCAAUGGUAGCUUAGCCUUGGUCUGGAUCUGGUGCUAGCGACUCAUGGUGAUGGGGUCUCCAUGAUGGAGUUUCUUUGAUGUAGUGGAUGUUGGGGCAUGGCGAAAGCUUUGCGCCAUGGCACCGGCGGUGACAUCACAUGUGGGUAUUGUGUUCCUCUUGGUUCUCCGUCGCGGUCCUCUCCUUUCCCUCCGGAUGUCAAGUUGAAAACCUCUGUUUGGCUCAGCUGGCGCGGCGAAGGUGGCGCUUCACGUCGUCACCCUCUUGGGGGGCAUCGGCGGUUAGAUCGGGUCCUCGGGCACACGGUGAUGGUCUCAUGUGCUUCUUCUCGGCAACCGGUUGGCGGCAUUAGCGUUCUCAUCUAGUUUCGUCGAUUUUUCUUUUUACCAGCCUUUGAGGAUUUCCUCAACACCUUGUAUCAUGGACUUCGUAUCGGUGUGGUUUGCCAUUAUCUAUAAAGGGGAGCUAAAGCCUAUUUCGAAGAUUAUUCCACAAGCAGCCAUCGUUUUAGAAGUAGAGAAUUUCUGAUAAAAGUAUAAUUACUAAUUUCGUCUGAUAAAUCAUAAAUGUAAUGAAUUUAAUCCGAUUUAAUUGAAAAUAAUCCGGUUUGCAAGAAGAUGGUCCUCCAAUUCCGGGGUAAAAUAUAGACAGAGAGGGUUGGAAGGUCAGUUCCCGUAUUAGUGCCCUCGCAUGCGCCGGCGGAUGGAUAAAAUGUUCGUUUUAGGUGUCAGUAUUGAAGAUGGCCUUAUUUCGAAGCAAUGGGCAAAGAUUCCUUCGGAUGGACAUCUAUCUAUCUCGUGCGUGCUUAAAUAAUGUGCCAUAACAAUUGCACGCUUGGACGCAACUAUGACAAUAGUGCCGUUGGUGGGCAUCUUUUUAUUGGGGAGUGAAUUUAAUACAAGCAUCUUUUUAUAUCAACACAACUAGCAAGGAUUCCACCUGAUGAGCAUAUAUCUUUCUCGAGUGGGGAGUGAAUAUAAUACAAGCAUAUUUUUAUCUCAACACAACUAGCAAGGAUUCCUCCCGAUGAGCAUCUGUCUGUCUCGAGUGGGGAGUGAAUUUAAUACAAGCAUCUUUUUAUCUCAACACAACUACUUCCUCCGUCUCGGUGAAUAAGUCAUCUUACGAAAAUUAAAUAAUCUCAAAACACUUAGGCACGAUGCAUUAACUUUCACCUCGUUUCUUGUUUUUUUGACAUAAAUAAAGGAAUCAGCCAAUAAGAGACGUGGGGUAUGUAUGUUUUUAAUGACUUGAGACUAACUACCACAACAUGCAUUGGUCAAUUUAUUGCAUGCAAUGAUAUUAAUUAGCAAAUUAGCAUUGAUUUCUCUUGUUUUCCUCACGUUCCUGGUCACGGUGCACAACCUAAGAUGACUUGUACACCGGGACGGAGGGAGUAGCAAGGAUUCCUCCCAAUGAGCAUCCAUCUAUCUUUUGUUUAAUAAAAUAUGUCAUAAAUGCAAUGAAUUUAAUUCGAUUACCUUCAGGAAGAAAUUUCAAAGUAUAUAGAAAAGCGAGUAUUAGUUUUGUAAAGUUAUAUUUAAUACUAUCCUUUGCAGAAUAUAAGUCAUAUUGGUUUUGUCUCAAGCCAAACUUGUUUAUGUUUGAGCAAGUUAUUAGAAAAGAAAUAUCAUCAUCCCGAAAUCCAAUUCGCCUCUUGGGAGCAUAUGCUCCUGCCCAUCAAAAAAGGUUUUAUUCAAAUGUUAAACAUUUUUGAAAAAAUGGAUGUCCUCAUUGUCAAACCCAAAUGCUUUGCAAAUUUUCAAGAGAAAAGCUCAGGCAUUUUGACAUCUGAGGAAAAUAAAACGGAACGCACAAUGUUACCUCUAAAUGGUAGGCUUAAUUUUGUCUUUUUUUACCGACGAAGCCCCGCUAUCCUGUUUUGCAUGAAAAUUUUCAAGCACGCUGGUUAGACUAACAUGAAUAUCCACACAAAUAUUUUUAAUAUUUUAACUAUUUAUUUUGAAUUUACUGUUCACUUGCGAGCGUAUGCUUCCUAGAGCCAGAAAGGCCCUCCUGAUGGAUGCCAAAUAAAAUUAUAAUAUAUGUGAAGAGGGUUGGAUGUUAGCUCCGGGAUGACCGUCCGUGUUUGGUUUCCGUGUUGAAGAUGGCCUUAUGUCGAAACAGUGGGCAGAGGUUCCUUCCGAUGGACAUCAAUCUAGAGAGUUUUUACGGUGCAUCAUACUACUCAAAAAAGUGAGUAGUAUAUUGUUGAUGGAAUGGUUAAUAUUAAUCCUUCCAAUUUUUGAGGUAGGACAUUUCCGUAAUUCACUCGUAGGGUAUAUUUAUCCUUUCUUAAAUUUAACACAAUCCUUGAAUAACGCAAUUAAUCAUAAUUGGACCCAUCUCGGCUACGCAGAUAUUUUAGUUUGUCUGCCAUUCAUCACUCAAAGCAUCCGCGCGAGUCCCGACGCCCGUCUCCUCGAUCGCACAAGGCCGAACGCCCGUCAUUGCACUGAGAUCUUCCUUCCCUGUGUCCUAACGACGAGGCAGCCGCCCCAUGUCAGUGUGCGUGCUUCUACAAACGGAACGGAAAGAAAUAUUAUCAACCUUGCUCGACCGGCAAUACCUCUGUGCGUGCUGCUGCUCCCCACCAGCCAUGGCUGCGCACACAUGACUGGAAAAGGCUGACUAUGAUUUUGAUAAGUGAAUUCAUGGUAUUAAUUUACAAACAAGCGAUGUGAUUCGGUAGUGCAGGAUUUGUGUGUGCGUGUGUGAUGGAUACUGAUGGAUUAGUUUGAGGGAAAAUCUUGUGCGUGCUUUAACAAUGUGGCAUACCGCACGACUUGGACGCGAGGAAGUAGUCUUGUCGCAAGCAACUUGUUUGGUCUAUGACAAUGCCGUUGCUGGGCUUCUUUUUAUUGGGGAGUGGGUUUUUCUCAACACAACUUGCAAGGAUUCCUCACGAUGAGCGUCUAUUUAUCUCGAGGGUCUAUUGAGUACUAUACACAACUUGCAAGGAUUCCUCACGGUGUGCUAUCUAUUUUUUCUUUAAUGAAACGGUGGAACGAGGGAUCUUUGCAAUGCCAACGCGUGUAUAAAUAUUGGCAGGACUACAUUUACAAAAUCAUUCAUUCAUUCUCUCACAGCAAUCGAUCCAUCUAAACUAGGUGGAACAGUACGUACACGGCAAAGCAAAUGGCCUCAGGAGUGUUUGGUACCCCCAUUUCGGAGAAGACGGUGAUAGCCACUGGUGAGUAUAAGGAACCCAUUACUCAAAAGGAUGUUGCAGACUAUACCAUGAAGAUGAUCAACGCCGGUGGUAAGGAUAUUAACGCACAAACCUUCGUCGACAAUCUCAAAGAGCGGUUCGUUUCUUUCGUUGUUUCCUUCAUUGUACGUCGUAUAUUUCUGCUUUUAGCAUGUUGUGAUACAAACAAAUUUCUUUUAGAGAGAGCUUAAUUAAUCUGAUCCAUAUUUUGGCGACACUGCUAUAUAGGUACGGUAACGGAAUAGCUGUAAAAUGCCUCAUCUACAAUGCCACUGGUGCCACUUUGAGCUUGGCUAAGUACAACGAUUGGCACGGCCAUAUCUAUGAUACACCCUACCCAUCAGAUAUUCAGAAUGGGCAAUGGGGUGCAUUCCUCCACGUCCACCCAAGUGGUGCUGCGGUUGGUUCAGCUGGUGCCGUUGUGUAUCGUACCAAGAUCCCCUCCAGCACCAGGUCCUGCGAUUGGUUGUUCUCCUGGACCGUCCCCUACAUUGGUGCCAACGGGGUAAAUACUGUGCAUUAUCUCAAAAAUGAUGUAUCUUACCUUUUUCUCUUUGUUCAUGCUCCAAACUAAUUUUAAGUAAAUUUAUAUGUAAUCCAAAUUAAAUUAACGGUGCAAUUCACCUCGCAAGUGAUGCAUUUAUAAAGCUGCAAACUAUGAUUCUUUUAAUUAAGAUGAUAGAAGAUCUUGUUUCAUUAGACUUGAUAAGUACAUAAAAAAUAAUAUUCCUAUAAAGCUUUAUGAAACAAUUAACGAUUUAAAAUAUGAAUUAACAUGCGUGCCCAUAUAAGAGUGUGAAUUUUAUUUAGGGACAAGGGAAUACCUUCAUAUUCGCAUCUCAAUUCAUAUGAACUUAACUCAUAAAAAUAAAUAAAUAAAUAAUCUAAACUAAAUUCAAUUGAAUUUACUUACUACAGUUUUUCAACUGAAAAAACAUUACGUAUAUGUCAAACUCUACUAGUGCAUAUUCUAAUACUUUAUGUAUGUAGGUGUACACCGAAAUCCGUGAGGAAGGACACUACCCAAAUGUGGGAAGCUGGGGUUAUAUCUAUGGUGUGAAGCUUGCAAAUUCAGAUCUCAACUCUACUGAUAAAAACUAUGGAUAUGUUUCCAAGACUAAUAUCGGUGAAGGCUCUACCAUGAACGCCCGUGGAGUUUUCCAGUAUCCCUACUAGAUCUCGUUAUCAACAUCAAAGGCUUGUGUGGCGAAGACGUUGCGGUGUAUUUCCUAAGAGCCGGUGUACAAACUAUGGAUAUGUUUCGUCUACUAUCUUUGUGGUGCAUUUCCUAAGAUCGGGUGCUUAUGAAUAAUCAAGGAAGAAGACAAUAAAUGAGAUAUCAUGUGUGAUUUUAUAUUAUUUACAAGUCGUUUGUGUCAAGCUAUCCCUCUUUUGUACCCACUACUGUUAUCCUAAAUAAAUAUCAAAUUUAUGAUACUCCCCCGUCUCGGUUUAUAAGUCAUCUUAGAAAAACCAAAUAAUCCCCAAAAAAAAUUAGGCACAGUACAUUAACUUUCACCUCAUUUCUGUUUUUUUACAUGAAUAAAGGAAUUAACCAAAAAGAGACGUGGGGCGUUUAUGUUUUUAAUGACUUGAGACUAACUGACAUGACAUGCAGUGGUCAAUUUAUAGUAUGGGCAUUAUAUUAGCAAAUUAACUUUAAUUUCUCUCGUUUUCCUCUUUGUCUUGGUCGCAUUGCACAACCUAAGAUUACCUAUACACCGAGACGGAGGGAGUACUCUUCCGAGUGUCUUUUCUUAAAAUGGAAAUUAAAUAAAAACUAAAGUUAGGAACCAACCAUUUUCUAAUGGAGUACAUAUAGACGGGAGAUGAAUUUACCCCCACAAGUUUAUACCACGUUGAAGUUCUAAUAUACCGUUUUGAUAAAAAAUACUUUAAUAUAGCUAUAUCUAAAUCUAUGUAUACUCAUUGUGAAGGCUUUAGACUUCUUAUUAUGAAUAAAGUCAUUUGAAAGUAUAUUGUUCUUUAAUUUCUUGACAUAAAAAGAAGUUUUGAUAAUUAUAAUUGUGAAACGAUAUGUAAAUUAUGGAUAACCAUAACACCAAUAAUACAAUCCAAAAUAUUCAAUUGAACUAAUGCUUCAUCCUAUGUGUUAGAGUUGUGUUGAAUAUUGUGUUCAAGGUAUGUUAUAUUUGGACUCUGAGUUGUAUUGUGUUUAGAUAGGAUAUGCCCUUGACCUCUCAUAUAUAGUGGAGGCAGACAAACGAAAUAACCUAUGCUAAUAUAAUAGCACAUGAACGCAGGCGAGACGGCGGCAUGUGUCGAUGCCCAGGACGGUCUGGGUACGGUAUUGUGACGGCGUCACGGCAAGGAGCGUCUGUAAUCAAGCUCCGGGGACGUAGUCAUAUCGUUGAACCUCAUUAACAAAUAUCGGUGGCGUGCUCAUUUGACUGCUUGGUCCUCGGAUGAACGACUAUACAUCUCUUGUUUAUUCUAUCAAGUGGUAUCAAUGCUAGGUUAUCUGGGGUUGAUGGUUGAUCUAGAGGAAAAGGAUGAAAGAAAUCGUAAAGAAGAUCAGUUGGAUUUAAGCUACACUUGACCGAUUUCGAGCGUUAAAACUGGAAGAGAUCAAAGUUGACAGGAGUCAUUGAAAUCAACGCGAACUUCGGAGCGUGUCAACAGUGGCAGAUCAUAUGCAUACAACGGCGGCGAUGCUAGCUAGGGCAUGCAGGCCUAGUUGGCAUUGUUCGCUGGACGUACGAUGCAUGCAUGAAUUACAAGAUACAGGGGGAGAUUUCCAUGAUAUAUAUCAUCAAUAUGCAUUUGCUGUCCAACGAAAACUUCUCAAAUAUGCACAUCUUUAAGGGGAGUAUCUCUGUAUCUUGCAAUCAAAUUCCUCAAACUGUGUACUUACAUUUCAUAUUAUUAGCCCUGUUGAAAACUUAACCUAGUUGUCAUCAACCACCAAAAAGGGGGAGAUUGUAAGUGCAUCUAGUGCCCCUUAGUGAUUUGGAUGGUUGGAAGAUUUAUAGGUUAAGAGACUGAUAAGUUUGUAAAUGUACACAGGCUCUAUAUAUGUAUUUGAGUAGUUUGAGUUAUUCGAUGAAUAUCGACCCCUAAAAAUGUAUUUCUUCGAGUGAAGCCUUUGGUCAUUCCUUGAAGACUUUGAUCGUGAAGAAAUUGAUAUUCCUCUUAAUGAUAUUAAAGAUGAGAAAUUCGGUGUGUACCGAAGAAAAUACUCUGAAGACUUUGAAGCGUGAAUAUUUACUCUUUCUGUUUCAUUUUCUUUAUUCUUGAGUUAUAGGAACACCGUACUGUUAAAGGGGGUCAAGGUAAAAGUACCGAAAGAAUUUCCUCAUGAUGCUCAACCCAAACCUACACCUAUUAAAUCCUCAGAGUGAGGUACAUGAGAUACACGAGGACUUUCACAAUUGAAAGUUCCGACCGUUGCCGCGCCACGCGCCACCUGUCCCAAAUCUUAUCCACGCAACGUUCAUAUCAUUAAGGGCGUUUAUGUCAAAUCAUGUCGGGAUGCUCCCAAGAUAUAAAUAGCUGCCCCCACAACCACUAGCUGGUUGGCUGCUCUGAGAGAAACUGACACUAGUCAUUUAGAGCGACCCAAAUUCCUCAAAGCCUUUGAGCGAAAAUCAUCAAGUAAGGAAAUACCUCAAACACUCAAACCCAAACCAAAACCCAAGUUAUUGAGCAUCUCCGAAGAAGUUAUUCCUGUGUGGAACCGAUGCUUGUAACCUUUGAGGACUGUGCAUCCACCAGAUGGUUAGGCAUCAUCGUCUAGAGCAUCCAGCAGUCAAUUGUGGAUUGUCGGGUCACCUAGUUUGUGAGGGUUUGGAAGUAUGCCAUGAAGACUUACCGUGAGUGUUGUAGCGAUCUACAAGGGUAUGUAGAUUCACUCUCCCCUCUCGUAGAUGAUCAUCAUCAUGGAUAGGUAUUGCAUGUGUAUAGGAAAAUUUUUGUUUUCCAUGCGACAUUCCCCAACAGUAUAAAAUUUAAAACACAUGCAUUCUGUAACAGAAAACAAAUGGUUAAUACGGUAGGACUGUGUGUCCUUAGCUCAAGGAGAAUACGGUAGGAACCGUGUGUCCCGGAACUGUGUGUCCCGUGACUGUGUGUCCCAGGACUGUGUAGAUGGAGAUCAUCACCAAGAUGUACGUGUGCUGAACGCGGAGGUGCCGUUCGUUCGGCACUAGAUCGGAAUGGAUCGUGAUGGGAUCGCAGGACUGAUCGUGUUGAGAUCGUGGGACGGGCUGCGAUUUGGAUCGUGAAGAUGUUUCACUACAUCAACCGCGUUAUAUACGCUUCCGCUUAGCGAUCUACAAGGGUAUGUAGAUUCACUCUCCCCUCUCGUAGAUGAUCAUCAUCAUGGAUAGGUAUUGCAUGUGCAUAGGAAAAUUUUGUUUAAUCCAACAGUUUUGGGAUAAAUUAUUAUGAAUUUUGUUUUGAAUUCCCAUCGUGUGAAAUUGUAAUGUUAAUAAUAAUAAUAAUAAUAGUAAAAUAGUAAUAAUAGCAAUAAUAAUAACAAUAAUAAUAGCAAUAAUAAUAACAAUAGCAAUAGAAAUAACAAUAACAACAUCAAUAAUACUACUAAUAAUUAUAAUGAUGAUGGUGAUGAUGAUGAUGAUGAUGAUGUAGGGACAUACUCUUGCACAAGAUCCUCAAACAAGAUUUUACUCUCCUUGAGCCAUUUUGAGAAUUGAUUUGGUACAAAAUGCUGAAACUUUUUGGCAUUAUCAAGCGCAGCUUUCUUAUACAUGCCGGCCUCAAGAGCAAGGCGCUGAGCUUCCUUCUGUUGGGUGGCUGGAUUGAGCCACUUUAGCUGUUUGAUGAGGUCUUCACUGUGGGUCUUGAGCUUGUCAAGGUAGGUGAGACGGGUGUUGUAACUACGGAUGAAUUGGAGGGAUGUUCCGAUGGCCUUGGUGCAGUAGUCAUACACAUCCUUGGCAAUAGAUUGCUUGGCGGGGUCCUCGGUUUGUUUUAUCAUGUCCUGUGCACUGUCAAGGACAUGGUACACCUUAUCACGGGCAUCUUUCGCAUCGUUGAGGUACUUUUGCUGCUCCGCGUAUGACUGGAACUCGAGCUCUAGAAGCUUCUGCACUUCUUGUCGGUGGAUCAAAUCAGCUAGCUUAUGAAGCUGCCCUGGACUUAAAUCAACUGGAUCACGAGACAUGAUGUACGCGGUACACCUGAAAAAAAACUACAACCAAAAAAAGUCAAAGGGAGAGACGGAAGGAUACAAGACACUAGGAUUCGAUUGCAUACAGACACGAAAUAAAAUAAUAACUGCGCCGCUUUCAUGUAGGGGGCUGAGUUUGCGAAUGGGUCUUCUUGCGUUUACACAUAACAUCUACCGUGUGGCUUGGGUCGACGAUGGUAUCCGAUGAAGUCGAAGUCGCUUGCUCGAAGAUUAGAGAGGACGAUGACGCAUAUUGGGGAGAAAUGAUAACCAUGACGCCGGAGUGCUAGGUUGUUGAGGCCCUGUAUGUUGACGUAUGGGUGAAGUUUUAUGUGUGUGCCGCUUAGCUGUUUGUGAUGGUUUUGGUUCAGUUUUUCAUUAAUUAACUAGAUAACUCUCUUCAAUAUUUAAGUAAGGAAGGGAAGGGAAGGGAAGAAGCAUUCACCUUGGCCUUGGCGACCACAGAGGAAGGAUCCGAGCAGAGACUCUCUCUCUCUCUCUCUCACGCCUUAGUUGGUGAGAAUGGAGAGACUAGUUGUCGGUAUUUAUAAAGAAAGAGAGGCAGAUGCCUAAGUGGGAAAACGAGGGGCAGGGGCAUGGGCUUCCGCUUAGAUUACACCAACCUUUUCUCUAUUUGGAAUGAGGAUUGCAACUUUGCCACUUCUAUGUAGUUUUGUCUUAUUCCCAAAGUUUAUGCUGCUUCAUCAAGCAUCUGAAGGCGCUAAACAAGAAGCGCGCCUAAAAAAACAGGAUAUAUAACGCGCUGAUGAAAGCAACUCCCAAACAGCCGUGUAAAAAAUGCCGCGCACGGUAAAAGAACGUCAGCACGCUGGGAAAAACUACAUCGAGUGGUUUAUUUGAUGUGUCCGUUUCAACGCGCUGCAUAAAAAUAAAAUCACGUGCGAACCAUCAACAGUCGGAUCUAAAACCUCCUGACGCCGGCGCCUCCGCCCACUCCUGCUGUCAGCGUUUCCCACACCUCUCCCCAGCGCGCUGCAGAUCCCCUGCUGCUCCAAGCAGCCGCCGCUGAUUCCUCUAUCUACUCUCCUCGUCGCCGUCCCUUGAGCGCUCGGUUCCUCCGAAAGACAGCGUCUAACGGCCAUUUGCACCACGUUGCCCACAAUGUGUUUGACAAAAUACUUACAAGGUAUAUAGUGCUUAGCUUUAUAUUUGUAGAUGAAUUUGAUGUAUGUUGCUUGUAGUUUUGAAUUAGUUGUAAUUCAUGUUUGCGGAUGGGUUCUUCCUAUUAUUCUUCCGAUGGAGAAUUCGAUCUUCAAGAGGAGAAGGAAAUCUUAAUAAUCCAAACUAUCCACGUCGAUAAAAAACCGAAACACAAUGGUUCGGUUUUUUAUUGUAAAAAAUUAUGGAGGGAAAGGAUUGAUGCCCAUAACAGAUUAAUGAGGAGCUAUUUUAUGGAAAAUCCCACAUUCUCCGCAUCAUACUUCUGGCGCCGUUUUAGGAUGAGCAUCGAGUUGUUUAAACACAUUGCGAAGAAACUUGCAAGGCAUGAUCGGGUUUUUCAUAAAUGCUUGUGUGAUCAAGCAUAACAUGAUCAUCGGUAAUGAAUGUGGACAAGAUUUAGACAAUUCUCCGUAAGAGUUGAUGGGAAGACCCAUGCUAGUGCGUAGGAGCGGUGCAAGGGUGGCCCGCUGUGUUGCCUCCUAUCGUUGCCAUUCGACGUGCCGAAAUGCAUGAUGAACUCUAAAAGGAUCUAGUCGAGGAGUGCUGCAUGGUCGUUCAAUGGGCAACGUAUGAGUUGGUGUUAAUUAUAGGAACUAUUUGUUGUAUUGAAAAUAAACUAUUUGUUGCAUAAUUCAUGAACUAUUUAUUGUAUUUUUCAUUAACUAUUUGUUUUACUUGGAAUAAUAAUUGAACUAUUUAUUGUUGAUUUAUUUUUUUGUAUCUUUGAUCUUCUUGGUUCUAUGUUUGAGUGAACAAUAUGUUUGUGCUGGGCACGCGUGCUGUAAUUUAGCAUCACUGCUGGAGUGCUACUCGCGGCCUGUUAAAUUUUACAGCUUUUGCGCCGGGGCAAUGUCGGCUCGUUCUUGACCAGACGUCAGAUCUGGACUCCGCGGUUGCGAUAGGGUGAGAAGAUUCGCCCUUGACCCGCCGGAGCGGGGACGUGUCAUCGCGCCUCACGUGGUGGCUCGGCGGGGACGGUGGGUCCUCCUUGACGCUCGCCGACAAUGAUGAUGACCGGCCCAUGUGAUGGAACGAACGCUCCGUCAUUAUCUCGAUCUGACUGACAAAUUCUUUAUUCGUCACGGCGGCCUCCAAGAAGAUGCGGGGCCUUUACCAAUACAGCGGCGCAGCGUGUGGUAAUCUUUGUCGGAGAAUGACGUUAUAAUCUCCUCCUUGCCGGAGGAGCCGGGCACCGUGGGUGUGGAAGGGCCCGGAGAGCGAGGGCGACGUUGCCAAGANNNNNNNNNNNNNNNNNNNNNNNNNNNNNNNNNNNNNNNNNNNNNNNNNNNNNNNNNNNNNNNNNNNNNNNNNNNNNNNNNNNNNNNNNNNNNNNNNNNNAGAUUGCCGGAAGGUUUUCGAAGUUACCGGGAAUGUGCCGGGAAUAACAAAUGGGUUCCGGGUGUUCACCGGGGUGGCAACCCACCCCGGGGAAGCCCAUAGGCCUUGGGGGUGGUGCACCAGCCCUUGAUGGGCUGGUGGGACAGCCCAAGAAGGCCCUAUGCGCCAAAGGAUAAGAAAUCAAAGAAGAAAAAAGGGGGAAGUGGGAAAGGAGAGAAGGACUCCACCUUCCAAUCCUAGUUGGAUUCGGUUUGGANNNNNNNNNNCUCAUAUCAGCCCAAGAAGGCCAUAUGCGCCAAAGGAUAAGAAAUCAAAGAGAAAGAAAAAAAGGGGAGGUGGGGAAGGAGAGAAGGACUCCACCUUCCAAUCCUAGUUGGAUUCGGUUUGGAAGGGGAGGACUUCCCCCCUUGGUUCGGCCAACCCCCUUGGGGCUCCUUGAGCCUCAAGGCAAGGCCCCUCCCCUCCCACCUAUAUAUACACAGGUAUUAGGGCUGAUUUGAUACAACUUUUCAAAGGCAGCCCGACCACAUACCUCCACGGUUUUACCUCUAGAUCGCGUUUUUGCGGAGCUCGGGCGGAGCCCUGCCGAGAUCAGAUCACCACCAACCUUCGGAGCGCCGUCACGCUACCGGAGAACUCAUCUACCUCUCCGUCUCUAUUGCUAGAUCAAGAAGGCCGAGAUCAUCGUCGAGCUGUACGUGUGUUGAACGUGGACGUGUCGUCCGUUCGGCACUAGAUCGUGGGACGGAUCGCGGGACGGUUCGCGGGACGGUUCGCGGGGCGGAUCGAGGGACGUGAGGACGUUCCACUACAUCAACCGCGUUCACUAACGCUUCUGCUGUGCGAUCUACAAGGGUAGGCAGAUCGGAAAUCCCCUCUCGUAGAUGGACAUCAUCAUGAUAGGUCUUCGUGCGCGUUGGAAAAAUUUUGUUUCCCAUGCGACGUUCCCCAACAGUGGCAUCAUGAGCUAGGUUCAUGCGUAGAUGCCUUCUCGAGUAGAACACAAAAGAUUUUGUGGGCGGUGAUGUGCGUUUUGGUGACCUCCUUAGUCUUUUCUUGAUUCCGCGGUAUUGUUGGAUUGAAGCGGCUUGGACCGACAUUACUCGUACGCUUACGAGAGACUGGUUUCAUCGCUACAAGUAACCCCGGUGCUCAAAGAUGACUGGCAAGUGUCGGUUUCUCCAACUUUAGUUGAAUCAGAUUUGACCGAGGAGGUCCUUGUAUAAGGUUAAAUAGCAAUUCAUAUAUCUCCGUUGUGGUGUUUGCGUAAGUAAGAUGCGAUCCUACUAGAUAACCAUGGUCACCACGUAAAACAUGCAACAACAAAAUUAGAGGACGUCUAACUUGUUUUUGCAGGGUAUGCUUGUGAUGUGAUAUGGCCAACGAUGUGAUGUGAUANNNNNNNNNNNNNNNNNNNNNNNNNNNNNNNNNNNNNNNNNNNNNNNNNNNNNNNNNNNNNNNNNNNNNNNNNNNNNNNNNNNNNNNNNNNNNNNNNNNNCUAUAUAAGACGGGUUGGAAACUUCGUAGUGUCGUUUUAUGUAGGAGGACCUUUAGUCCCGGGUCUUGGCUAGAACCUAAACUCUAAAAUAUGUCUAACGGAUUCUCUUAACCUUCUAAUUUUUUCUCUUCUUCUACUUCUCCUCUUCUUCUAUUUUUCCUCUUCUUCUCCUCUCCUCCUCUUCUUAUUCUCCUUUUUCUUGUUUUCUUCUCCUCCUCUUCUUAUUUUCCUUUUUCCUAAUCUUAUUUUCUUAUUUUUGUUCAUAUUUCUUCUUCUUGUAACCCUAACCUAAUUCUAAAUAUUACUAACCCUAAUAAUCUAGCACAAACCUAAUAACAAUAGGAAUUAAAUGACAAAAAAAAUCUUUUCUUUUCUUCUCCUUUUUCUUCUUUUCUUCUCCUUUUUCUUCCUUUCUUCUCCUUUUUCCUCCUUUCUUCUCCUUUUUCUUCUUUUCUUCUCCUUUUUCUUCUUUUCUUCUCCUUUUUCUUCCUUUCUUCUCCUUUUUCUUCCUUUCUUCUCCUUUUUCUUCCUUUCUUCCCUUUUUCUACUUUUCUUCUCCUUUUUCUUCUUUUCUUCUCCUUUUUCUUCUUUUCUUCUCCUUUUUCUUCCUUUCUUCUCCUUUUUCCUCCUUUCUUCUCCUUUUUCUUCUUUUCUUCUCCUUUUUCUUCUUUUCUUCUCGUUUUUCUUCUUUUAUUCUACUGGCCGGAGUGUUGGGGAGAAGGGGCGGGGGGCUUACCGGCCGGAGGUGUCGACAGCGCGCGGCGAGGAGGACGGCGGCGCGCGGCGAGAAGAACGGCGGCGGCGAGGAGGACGACGGCCACGGCGAGGAGGACGGCGGGCGGCGGCGAGGAGGACGGCGGGCAGCCUGACAGCGUCGUCGAGGUCGUCGGUGUGCCGCGCCGGGCAGGAGAACGAGAGGAAGAAGAAGAGAAAUGGACGAUUUGGGUUGGAAUUUUUCUAAGUCCCGCUUAUAUAGGUGGAUCUUUAGUCCCGGUUCGGGGCUCGAACCGGGACUAAAGACCCCCUUUAGUCCCGGGUGGAGCCACCAACCGGGACUAAAGGCCCUNNNNNNNNNNNNNNNNNNNNNNNNNNNNNNNNNNNNNNNNNNNNNNNNNNNNNNNNNNNNNNNNNNNNNNNNNNNNNNNNNNNNNNNNNNNNNNNNNNNNUUUGAUACUGAAAAGGACUUCAAAGAAGAUUUCCUUCUCUUCCUUAGUAAGAGCGUAGCUGGCACACCCUUGAAACUACCCUGGAUGCAUGCCAUCUCUUCCUUUAUGACGUUCCUGGUCCUCCCGUGCUUCCGGUGUAUCUUUUGACUUCCCAUACAAGCCCAGGAAGCCUAGAAUAUUCACGCCGAGAUUCUUCGUCAGGUGCAUCACGUCGAUUGCCGAGCGGACCUCAUGGACUUCCAAGUAGGGUAGCUCCCAAAAUAUAGAUUUCUUCUUCCACAUGGAUACACGCUUAUCAGGGCCGUUAGGAACAGGUUGGCUGCCAGGACCCUUUCCAAAGAUUACUUUUAAAUCUUUGACCAUAUCAAAUACUUCAGCACCAAUACGGAUGACAGGCUUCCCCCGGGGUUCUGCCUUGCCAUUGAAAUGCUUGCCUUUUUUCUUUAAGGGAUGCUUGGGUGGAAGAAAACGACGAUUGUACGGAUACACAUUCUUCCUACAUUUGUCAAGAUAUAUACUUUCUGUCUGAUCCAAACAGUGUGUGCAUGCAUUGUAUCCCUUGUUUGACUGUCCUGAAAUGUUACUAAGAGCAGGCCAAUCAUUGAUGGUUACGAAAAGCAACGCUCGAAGGUCAAAGUCCUCUUGUUUGUGCUCGUCCCACACACGUACACCUCGUUCGGCCCACAGCUGUAAAAGUUCAUCAACUAAUGGUCUUAGUUACACAUCAAUAUCGUUGUCGGUUUGCUUUGGACCUUGUAUAAGCACUGGCAUCAUAAUGAACUUCCGCUUCAUGCACAACCAAUGAGGAAGGUUGUAGAUGCAUAGAGUAACGGGCCAGGUGUUGUGACUGCAACUCUGCUCCCCAAAAGGAUUCAUGCCAUCUGUACUCACACCUAACCAUAAAUUCCUUGCGUCAGCUGCAAAUCUCGGGAACUCUCUCUCGAUUUUUCUCCACUGCCGGCCAUCAGCGGUGUGCCUCAACUUAUCGUCUUUCAUACGAUCUUCCAUGUGCCAUCGCAACAACUUCGCAUGAUCUUUAUUUCUAAACAGACGUUUCAACCAUGGUAUUAUAGGAGCAUACCACAUCACCUUGGCAGGAACCCUCUUCCUGGGUGGCUCGCCCUCGAUAUCUGCAGGGUCAUCUUUUCUGAUCUUAUACCGCAAUGCAGUGCAUACCGGGCAUUUAUCCAUAUUCUCAUACUUCUCACCGCGGUAGAGGAUGCAGUCAUUAGGGCAUGCAUGUAUCUUCUGCACGUCUAAUCCUUGAUGGCAGACAAGCUUCUUUGCUUCGUACAUGCUGGCGGGCAAUUCGUUCUUUCUUGGAAGCAUCUUCUUCAUCAGUACCAGCAACUUUUCGAAUGACGAGUCAGUCACACCGGUCUCUGCCAUCCAAUUCAGCAAUUCCAGUGUGCUACCCAGCUUCUUCUGGCCAUCUUCACAAGUUGGGUACAACAAUUUGUUGUGGUCCUGUAACAUCUGCUGGAACUGCAACCUCUCCUUUUCUGUGUCGCAACCUCGCCGUGCAUCAGAAAUGACCCGGCCAAGAUCAUCAGCGGGCUCAUCUGGUUCCCGUUCUUUAUGCUGAUCUUCUUCUUCAUUGUCUUCCAUUGCGGUAUCAGCAUACUCAGGGAACAUAGAUCGGUAGUUGUCAUCAUCGUUCUCUUCUUCUUCAUCGUCGUCUUCCAUCAUAACCCCUCUUUCUCCGUGCUUGGUCUAAACAUUAUAGCCCGACAUAAAACCGGACCGAAGCAGGUGGCUUUGAAUGACUCUUGAGGAAGUGUAAUCCUUCUCAUUCCGACAUUCAACANNNNNNNNNNNNNNNNNNNNNNNNNNNNNNNNNNNNNNNNNNNNNNNNNNNNNNNNNNNNNNNNNNNNNNNNNNNNNNNNNNNNNNNNNNNNNNNNNNNNNNNNNNNNNNNNNNNNNNNNNNNNNNNNNNNNNNNNNNNNNNNNNNNNNNNNNNNNNNNNNNNNNNNNNNNNNNNNNNNNNNNNAAAUACAAUCACGAUCCUUAAAAUUAGUAUCGCACGGUCUAAACGAGGAAAUAUAGUUGCUAACCUUUUAGAAUAAGUNNNNNNNNNNCCUCUGAAUGACUCUUGAGGAAGUGUAAUCCUUCUCAUUCCGACAUUCAACACAUGGACAAAACAUAGAGCCACCACCAUGCUUGUUCGCAUCGGCUGCAUCUCGAAAAGAAUGCACGCCUUCUCUGUAAGCGGCUGUGCGUCGAUCACCGUACAUCCAUGGAUGGCUCAUCUGUGUUAUACGACAGUAUAUCNNNNNNNNNNNNNNNNNNNNNNNNNNNNNNNNNNNNNNNNNNNNNNNNNNNNNNNNNNNNNNNNNNNNNNNNNNNNNNNNNNNNNNNNNNNNNNNNNNNNAGGUGUGGCCGGUGUUGGGCCGCAGACGAUGUGUUGUUGGUGCUUGCUAUGUCGUGGGAUGCAUGUCGGUGGCGUGCUCGAGGAAGAUGGCUUCAGUUUCUUCAUUGAAGCGGUGCAGGCCGCCCUUGUCACGGUUGGGGUACAUUGCGGAUCCCUCAUGCUGCCCCGAGGACAGCAAAUCUGGAAGGGUGAGCGUGGAAGGAGGUCUGGUGGCUAUCGAGCGGCGGAUCGGGGUGGCGGAGGUCCGGUGGGGCUCCUGGGAAAUGGGACGGCAGCCUUCAGGGUCUGCCUCGGCUGGAUCUGGAGAUACGAGGUACCGCCCAUGGAGGCCGCAGCUUCGGCGGCGGUGUAUGGGCAGGUGGCCCAUACACGGGCAUUUGGGUGUCGCCGGUUGGCCCCAUCCCUGGACGGCUCGACGAUUUUGGGGGCUAAUACAGUGAGGAUCAGGCCCUCGUUGCCGACGUCCUCCUUGUCACGUGGACCGGGGGUCCGGCCCUAUGCCAGUGUCACCCAUGCCAAGGUGUGGCGUUCGGCGGACCUCGUGGACUUGUAGUGUUGGGGAGGAAGUUUGGAUGCCGGGGUGGCGGGCUACAUGGGUGGCUUCUCGGCAAGUCUCGGUGUAGUUGGUGUUGACGACAUUCUUUGGCCAUGAGAAUGGCAAUGGGUGUUGUGNNNNNNNNNNUGGGUGUAGGUCGUCCUCAUUGGUAGCUUAGCCCUAGUCUGGAUAUGGUGCUAGCGACCCGUGGUGAUGGGGUCUCCAUCAUGGAGUUUCUUUAAUGUAGUGGGUGUUGGGGGCACGGCGAAAUCUUUGCGCCAUGGCACCGGCGGUGACAUCACAUGUGGGUAUUGUGUUCCUCUUGGGGCUCCCUCGCGGUCCUCUCCUUUCCCUCCAGAUGUAAGUGUGAAAACCUCUGUUUGGCUCAGCUAGCGCGGCGAACGUGGCGCUUCACGUUGUCACCCUCUUGGGGGGCAUCGCCGGUGAGAUUGGGUCCUCGGGCACACAAUGACGGUCUCAUGUGCUUCUUCUCGACAACCGGUUGAUGGCGUUAGCGUUUUUAUCUAGUUUUGUCAAUUUGUCUUUUGACCAGCCUUUGAGGAUUUCCUCAACACCUUGUAUCAUGGACUUCGUAUCUGUGUGGUUUGCCGUAUCUAUAAAGGGGAGCUAAAGCCUAUUUCGAAGAUUAUUCCACAAGCAGGCAUCGUUUUAGAAGUAGAGAAUUUCUGAUAAAAGUAGAAUUAGUAAUUGAAAAAAAUGGAUGUCCUCAUUGUCAAACCCAAAUGCUUUGCAAAUUUUCAAGAGAAAAGCUCAGGCAUUUUGACAUCUGAGGAAAAUAAAACGGAACGCACAAUGUUACCUCUAAAUGGUAGGCUUAAUUUUGUCUUUUUUUACCGACGAAGCCCCGCUAUCCUGUUUUGCAUGAAAAUUUUCAAGCACGCUGGUUAGACUAACAUGAAUAUCCACACAAAUAUUUUUAAUAUUUUAACUAUUUAUUUUGAAUUUACUGUUCACUUGCGAGCGUAUGCUUCCUAGAGCCAGAAAGGCCCUCCUGAUGGAUGCCAAAUAAAAUUAUAAUAUAUGUGAAGAGGGUUGGAUGUUAGCUCCGGGAUGACCGUCCGUGUUUGGUUUCCGUGUUGAAGAUGGCCUUAUGUCGNNNNNNNNNNNNNNNNNNNNNNNNNNNNNNNNNNNNNNNNNNNNNNNNNNNNNNNNNNNNNNNNNNNNNNNNNNNNNNNNNNNNNNNNNNNNNNNNNNNNUCCAUACGACAUUCUGCAACAGUAUAAAAUUUAAAACACACGCAUUCUCUAACAGAAAACAAAUGGUUAAUCGAAGGGUUGGACCCAUCACUGCGCAGUUGGCAAAGCCAACAAGUUCUGGCCUAGCAAAGUAUUCUCUCUUCCCUGGUCGAUGUAAACUCUGAAGACAAGAAAGAACCAUGCGCUAUGUGGCUGAGAGCGACUUCCCGCCACCAUAAUCAACCCGAUGCUCAACCUGGCCUCCAUGGUAUCACACGCACCCAUUUCAAGCAACAACAGCAGAUUGAGGUGCACAUCGUGCGCACGGCCUCUAGCUCAUUUGGUAGGGCGCAAGGCUAAUUAGCCUUGAUGAAGAAUUUUGUUUGUAUGAAGGGAACUUUUAUUAACUUAAAAUGUAGCAUGAAGUGAAUACAAUUCAUGAUGACCAAGACGCGGCCUCUACAUAGCUUGAUGGACAUAGCCAAACACACACAGUCUAAAACAAGACAAAAAGAUUAAAAAACGGACAUGUCGGCACUAGUAAGGUCAAAUAGGACCGUCACUAUGCCUAUUGAUGAACCAAUAUGGAGGUUAUGAUGCCAUUCAUGUUGGGAAAAACCUCCAUAGCCAUCCACUCCAAUUGCGUACACACCACCUUGAAUAGCGGUUGGUACUCCGUGCGGUGAAAUAUAGACCACGUAUGAAGGGAGUCCAUACAAUAAAAAAUAACCUGCAAAGGAGAAGAUUUUUCGUAAUUAAAAACCACAUCAUUUCUACAUAACCAAAACAACCAUAAUAAGGCAUUAGCUCACACCCUUAAUAGCAGUUUGAACCUAUAAGGAAUGCCGUCCAACCAGUGAUAAAAAAUAUUGACAACACACGUGGGUGGUUAUAGAUUAGACAAUAUUUGGAUGAUUGACCAUGUAGAAUGCGGAAACAUGCAUUUGAAAAAGUGGUGUCUCAUUGUCCCGUCAUGAGUACAAAAACCACACGUCUUGCUUUGUUGCCAAUUGCGACCGGCGAGGGUAUGUUUGGUCAGCAUCACUCCUUUCUGAAGAUACCAUAUGGUACAGAGAGUAGAAUUUUUGACUUCCAUAUUUUCUCGUUAUUAUCUAUGGAUACCUUCGAAUGUGUGAGCACAUGAUACCGAGAGACGACUCUGAUGGAUCCAGAUUUUGUGAGGUUCCAAUGAAAUACAUCUCAUUCUUAUGUCAGGUUAAUCGUAUCCAAUCGGGACAACCUUGAUGGAGAAUGCCAUCCGUUUGUUCCUGGCUUCUGGUUUUUCACAUGCACUUGCAGGAUCUUGUAAUGAAGAUGCUUCAUCUACGAAACUCAAGCAUAAAUAUGUGUUUAACUCUCAUCUUUCUCUAUAAGAAGAACCCAAAGUCGAUAAAAAAACAAGAUCAUUGAAUCACCAUGUCUUUUAUUCAUCACGGAAUAAAACAGCUUCCUCACGGGGGUAUUAUUUUAUUUUAGGAGUGCACAAUAUGCAGGCACUUUAGUACUUAGACAAAGACAUAAGUAUAUAUCCCUUUAUCAUAGAUAGUUCACAGGUCGGGGUAAUUGUGUUUCACCAGACGAGCAAGUGGGAGACCAUCGGGCAUCGGAGCCACAGGACAAACAGUAAGCCCGUUUGUUAUUUUCACCUGGCUCGUUCCACUGCUGAAAAUCAAGUCAAGCAGCGCACCUGCAGCGAUCCCAAUUACCACACCAAUUCCGAAUCCGACGACUGCUCCGAUUACCGUGACAGCUAUAGAAGCGAUUUCGAUGUUAAGUGCUAUGAAUCCAGCUUCUAUAGCAGUUGUUGCUAGAUCUCCCACCACAAGGCUAACUACUGCAGUUAAUGCAUUCACUGAAUUCCUAACCGCUGCCUCCAUCCUGUCCUCUGCCGUGAAUAUGUCCCACACCAUUACACCUGCUGUAAAAAGCAACACUACAACCCCGACUUUUCCCAAAGCUUCGAAUGUGUAAGUCACCACGGGUUUUCCUUGACCGGCUUGUGCAAUAAUGUUGUCAUAUACCUGCAAAACAAGCAGUGAUAUCCUGUAUCAAUUUCGCACCAUACAUAGGUUAAAACAUGGACUUGAAAUCACCAAAUGCAACUACUUCAAUUCAGUUUAGUUUAGUACAUGAAAUUGGAGCUCAUAAGAAUACGCCAUAUAUGUAUAUUUCUAUAUAUAUCUUGACUAUUGAUUAGUUGAAACAUAUUUUUUUAUGUCCCGAUUUCUUUCCUUUUAAAACCUUUUGUUCACACUGCAGUACCACAAAUAAUCUAUUUAUAAAAAAAUAGAAUAUUAUUUAAAUACUGAGACAAAAAUUGUACUAUGAGAGACCUUAAACAUUGUUAAUUAAGAAAUUAAUUUAUGAUAAACCUGUAAAGGGCAAGGUUUAGAGUAUAAGUUAGUUCAUACCCGUAGCUUUUGUAUAUCACCCAAGUUCUUGAAAGCACCCCUAAAACCAAGUUUUCCCAUAUUACUGCAAGUACAGUGGGACAAGGAGAAAACAUAUUAGUGCAAUUACA